RNAcentral lists this long non-coding RNA (67336 nucleotides) under Triticum aestivum (bread wheat). RNAcentral describes it as "long non-coding RNA (TAES_LNC022193)". The record is from RNAcentral. Lineage: Eukaryota; Viridiplantae; Streptophyta; Magnoliopsida; Poales; Poaceae.
CCUCAUCAAAAGCACAAGCUAAAUCGUGGUUGCUGUUGGAUCGGCCAUUGCUACUGCGAUGUGGGCAAUUCGUUCAUUCUAGGUUUAGGGUAUGGAUGCAUCUGUGGUUCGAUUCCUAGGACAAGAGGAAAGGAAUCAGAAACGAUCGUUCAUGCCAAUCGGCUGGUCACGGAUUGUUUCAUUAUUCAUUCAUGGAUGUACGUAGCUACUAGCUGGGUUCCUCUUCUGCUUUUUGUUGUUUGUGUUCUUGCCAUGCAUGUGUAUGUCCUCAAAAUGUGUAUGAGCUCAUGUGGGGGAAAGUCCAGUAGAGUAAAAAGGUGGAUGGAGUUGAGCUUUAUGCCGUGACCUGAAUUAAUCUCUCUUUGACGCAGCAGGUAAACCGGUACAUUGAGGGAGCUACUAGCAAGUUCAUCUCUUUCACUUUUGACAGCGGGAGCAUGCGUCGACCCGGCCACUAGCAUGCAGAUUCCCCGCCGUCACCGUCGGCACGCGAGCGAUGGCAUGGCAUGGCAUGUCUGCGCCGAGCACGGGGAUUUGUCCGAUCGGAGACCACUGUCGUUGUUGUACUCUGCAAUUCGGCCGAAAAAACGUUGGAAAGAACGUGGCAUAUAUCUGGAGAAGAGUAGCUCUAUAUCUGUGUAUCCUCUUUCAGAAAUCUUCAGCCCUGGAUUGGCCUAGUUGCCUAGUUGGUGCACGCCAGGCGGUGGAUGAGUCCAAAACUCCAAUUAGCACUCUGUAUGCGGUACGGAAAAUGUGCCAAUUGGCGGGGCCGCGACGGUGGCGUCGCACAGCCACAGAAUCGUCACGCUCGUCCGCUUUCUAGGGCCGGCGGCGGCCAGGAACUGAAGCCCGUCGGAUCCCCGAUCGGGCUGUGGUUGCCCGGCUCCAGUCCUACAGUUUCUUCGUGCGAUGGUGUGUGUGCUCGUGCGUGACGGGGCAACCACUCCGGCGGGCCGUGCGCCGGUCGAGCCGGGCGCGUGGGUCCUCCCCGCCGCGCAUGUGCGUGUGUCCGGCGAGCGAUCGCGCGUCGGCGUCGCGCAGCUGGCGGUGCACGUACGGGGUAAGGUUUGUUCCUGUUGGAUUUCGGCGGGCACCGACCGGUGGGUGGUGGAGCCUUUUCUUUUCUAUGCUAAUCAGAUGCUCCACCACUCGUGCACCGCGGCGACGACCGACCCACCGCUGGGCGCUGGCCGUUCGUUAGCUGGGCGUGCCUGUGUCUGUGUGUGACGAGAAUCCGGCUGUGAUGUUACAGUAUAGUACUAGUAGCAACCGCUCGGCGACCACGUACUACGUUCUGCGGCGGUAUGCGGGUCGCUUUCAUGGCGUAUUUUUUGUUGGUCGUUGGUCUAGCGGACGCCGAGCUCGUGCCGUGACUGCGCUAACUGCCGUCAUUUUGUCAAAGUAUCUUUUGAAAGACUUAGUUUACGCACUACUGUAUGAGAUAAAACACACAUCGAAUACAAUCAAGACAAUUAGCUCCCUACGACAUUUUAAGGAAAAAAACCAUAUAAUCCAUAAUUCGUAUUUGGGUGACCUGUAUACUAAACCAAUCAAUAUAUUCAUAAUUUGGUGACCAGUUCAAUUUGAACAAAAUCCACAACAAUAAUUAUGGAACGGAGGGAGUACUAAUUUAGCACUUGGCUGUCACGGCCGGAACAUGAGACAUGAUUCGUCAGACUUACCCCUCUACUUUCUUACAUACUAGAUGACCCGUUGCGCCCAUGGCGCAAAAAGCGAGAGCAAGCCAUGAAAGUGAGAGUGAUUUAGAGCCAAUUUAAUAGAUAUUUAGGUACACAACGUUAUACGGAGUAUAUUUCAUUACAUGGUAACAUGAUAGCUAAAGAAAGUUAUGAGAUCACUUGAUGAUAGCUUACAUUGCCUUUAUAAAGCAAACUAUUUUAGCAGAGAUGCAUCAUAUAGAUAGAGCUGGCCUCUUAACCCCUGGCUGAGUCUUGUAUCUGCUGCCAGUAGGAAAGACAUGAAGGCGGUGAUAUUAGGUAGAGCCAUCACUGCAUGUUCCAUCAAUAUUGACCAUGAUUUCAUCGUCUAAACAACUCUUCAUGUAGGUGUGUUUGGUUCCUGUAGACCAGGUUCCGAUAUUGUUGUCCUUCAUUUUGCUAUACAUUCCAAAUCUUUUUUCCUGCCUGCAAUUAAGCCAUUGCUCUAAAAUAUAUUAGUUCUCCCACACACACCAUUUCUUUUGCCUUGGCAAAAGAUAAAUUGCAAACAGACAAAUUUAUGAAAAAAAAAACGCCACCCAUAUACGUAAACAUGGUCAGAUUAAUAUCAGCACACAUGCAUCUCUAAUAAAUGUUNNNNNNNNNNNNNNNNNNNNNNNNNNNNNNNNNNNNNNNNNNNNNNNNNNNNNNNNNNNNNNNNNNNNNNNNNNNNNNNNNNNNNNNNNNNNNNNNNNNNNNNNNNNNNNNNNNNNNNNNNNNNNNNNNNNNNNNNNNNNNNNNNNNNNNNNNNNNNNNNNNNNNNNNNNNNNNNNNNNNNNNNNNNNNNNNNNNNGUACUACCAUCCAUAAAACUCGAGACCUUGAGAUCUACCUAAAGGCUUAAAACCCCUACCUCAUACUUAAUACUAAUGAUGUCACAUGCAUCCUAUGGCAAAAAGAACAUGUAGAAUAGAAGCAUGGUAGUAGUGAAGUACUUUUUCGUAAACCUAAUAAUGGCUAACAUAAAAACCUGACGGUUGAAGCAUUUUGCAUCGAGAUAUGUUGUCUCCGUUUCCAGAACAAACCCCAUCAAAAAUAGUAUUCUUGCUCUGGCAGUGAGUGAAACCGGGAAAGACAGCUAGGGAGUCAACGAUCCCUUGGCUCACUCGUGCUUGUAUCCAAUUAGUUACCAUUCAAAAUAAUUUGUGUCUUUCGAUUUGAGAUAUUGCAGUUGAACAAAGAUAGAAGGUCAAAAUACAUUGUCCUUGGAUUUAUGUGGAAUAAAAACAGAGGCUGCUUGUGCAACUGGUGCAUGUAGCCAAAGCAAACCAAGAAUUAAAAUUUAAAACCAUUAUACUUACAUGGCAUAUUUUAUCGAUCCUGAUAACAUUAUGGUCCAGGCAUACCAGUGCAAGGAGAUACUUAAAUGGCGUCUUUAUACAUAACUGGCUCAGGCGUAUCAAGCCUGAUAAUGGGAAACAUGAUGGACUAAAAGCAUCAACUUACAUCAAAAGAAAGCUACGAAUGAAGCUUGCAGUAGCUUAUUUGUACCGACUUUAUAAAUAAAACUACAUAGCUAGCUAUAUCAUAUAGUGCAACUAACCAGCAUAUAAACAGAAGUGAAACUAACUAUACAGAUUUAGGAUAUAUAGUGCAAGUGAAUCAUAACGGUCGCUUACUUUCCCUUCCUGUAGUACAAGUCAGUGUCUCAUCUAGCACCAAGGCCCCACAUUUAUCAUAUUUUUGAACAUCUAAUUAAAUGAGCAAAAAAUAAUGAAUUGUACGUGAAAACAAUAUCAAUGCUUGACAAAUAGUACCACAUGAGAGUUUGACAGAAAAAGGAAGCAAAAAAAACACAAUAGAAAAAAAUUAAAAAUAAUAAUGGUUAUCAAAAAAGGCAGAAAGUAAUCGACACAAAAGCUUGCAUCAAGCUGAUCACUAAUGUCAAGUAUCAACAGGUAAUAGCACACUCAUUACGUUAGAAAGUAAAUGUGAGCCCUGCCCUGUUCUGCUUACCUACAGGGAAAAGGUACAAAUAUGUCUUACAUAUUUAUGUGCGGAGAAAUUAGAAAUCAACAUGUUCAUGUGAGGACUAAUGAAACUGAAACACUGAUGAUGAAUAACAUUAAUCAAUCUUGGUCUAGAAGAAAACAAAAUGGUAGAUCAUGAUAUAUGAAUUGCUCACAAGUAAAUCUGAGGCAGCUGGUCAUCAAUAUAUAGGGCUCUCCACGCUGCCGGAAAAUUCAUCCUUUGUGCAAAUAAAAUAUCAGAUUGAUGGUUAAAAUUAGAUCUAGCAGAGAUCAUGGGCAUUCAUAUUUUCAGACAAUAAAAAAUUUACAUAUCCCAUGAAGCAUUAUGUACACUGAAAUGCUCCCACUACACAAGCUUUGAGAUACAGUCGAAGUAUUACCGGUCACAUUUGUCACAUUCCACCAUCAUAUAUACUGUCAACCUCGUCCAUGAGGAGCAUUAGGCUUCUUUGUCCCGUGAAGUUGAUCCACACAUUAUAUAAUAAUAAUAAAACAAAUCAUAGUGGAAAAGUUCAUGAUAUUGACCAGCUGCCACUAUAAUUCAGAGUAGCAUUGUUGAUAAUUACUUUGAUAGAAUUUGAUGUGCUCCCCUCGACACCUUCCUCGAUCUUGGAUUCUACUUUACCACAACUAUCACUUGCAUUAAACUGCUAUGCAUAUACUAAUCAUUUGAAUUUAUGCCUCAAAGUUAAAUAAAGAACAGAAGCUUAAGCACAACCACUGAUUUCUACCUGGAUAAUUGACGAUAACCCCCCUUGUUGGCAAAUCCUUGAUCAUAUACCCCCCACCGCUAUCUCUGACAUGUGGGGUUUAAAUGGCCUGGGGGGGGGGGGGCGGGUUACAGCUAGCUCAUAUAGAGGCCCGAAGAACAACCUCUGUUCACACGACCAACACCAUGUAUUGAUCUAUCAGACAAAAAGGUAAAAACAAACACUUCUGAGACCUUCAUUUACAGUGUAGCUUUGCUCAGUGGGUAAGAGUGCAAAAUCAUGUCACGUGCUCUAUUACACAGAAAAAAUCAAACAUCAAAAUGCAGGAACAAGCAUGACUGUAUUCAAGAGAGAGAUAAUUCACCUUGGGCUUCUUAAUCACACUCUUCCUCAAAAUUCUUCUUCUACUCUCCACAAGUAACCAAAAAUUGAGGCACUGGAAAAUGCAUUCCCCUCCCAAUCCUUGAAAUCAGAAGAAACACUCAUAUGCAAAAGAUGUAGUAAGUCUAGGGUGAGAUUUCUUAAAGUUUUUGCCUAUCCCUGAGGCCUUUAAUCUAAAAUAGUACCCGUUUUUUAGAACAAUCUUAAAAGCUACCUUAGGGCUGCUUGAAAAAAAAUGCAUCUGUGGAGACGUGAAAGGAAGCAAAUCCAUAAAUAAUGUCUACUCAUUCAGGUUAGUGAUCAGGUGGCUGCAACCGCAAAAAAAAUAGGGCUUGCUUGGUAAUAAAAAUAGGUGUUCCAUAGAACAAGGGGCUGUUGUUUGUUUAAAUGGUAUUUGCAGUCAUAAGGUUGUUAGUUUAACAAAUACAUGUAUACAUGUACGCCUACAAUCUUACAGUUUACAUCACAUACAACUAGCAAAUAUACAACAAAAGUUUAGUUCUGAAUUUUGGCAAACAACAUAAAGAAAUCAUAUUAUUACCUAACAAAUACACGUGUACAUGCACGCCCAGAAAGCUUAGAGUUUAUAGGACACGCAGCAAGCAAAUAUACAGCAAAAGUUCAAUUCUGAAUUUCGGCAAACAACAUCCAGAAUUCAUAUUAGUAACUAACAAAUACACGUGCACAUGUAUGCCUAGAAAGCUUAGAGUUUACAGGACACACAUCGAGCAAAUAUGCAGCAAAAGUUCACUUCUUAAUUUGGGCAAACAACAUAAAGAAAUCAUAUUAUUACCUCUAGGAUUGGGGAAGCCGAGAGAGACUGGAAACAACAUGUAUGUCUAGAAAGCUUACAGGACCUCUAUAAAGCACUUCUGAACAGGGCUGCUUAUCUGCACAUACACAAGAUACACUCAGACAUCAUCAAAACUAUAUUACUUGCAUUUAUUGCCCAUGUAUGCAUAGCAAUAGAACUACAACAGGCGGUAUCACACACUGGUCUACUGAUCACGAAGACACCCUUCAUCUUUUGUUGCAAUGACAGUUUGAAGGAAACAACACAUAGAAGCGCAAUCCUAUACAUAGAAUAACCUGACAAAAACUUGACAAAAUCCUAGGCCCUCCCUGAUCAAUUUGCACCAAAAACACCGGAGCAAUCUAAGGAAAAUAAAUACAGCAAACAUGGCAACCCAACACACCAAAUCUACCAGAACAAAGAAUGUGAAACUUUAUUAACACCUCAUGUACAGCAACACAUCCCCUUCUCCUCAUGAUGGUUUUGUGCCAAGAUACCUUCCGGUGUUGGGGUUCGACCUCGUCUUCUCUCUGCCUGUACUUGUGUUUUAUGUCAAAAGCAAGACCGAAUAAAUUAUUGGGAUCUGAAGAACACGAAUAGUAUGGAAUAUUAAUAAUGGUGGGCGUACAACCCUUUGGUUCAGGUAGCAUUGCUUCAAUCUUAGGAUGUGUAUCUUUUGAAUUUGAUGCCAAACAACUACGGGUGUCAGCCUGCUCCCGUGAACAAAAAAUUUCAAACAAGAGCACUCAAAUAUUCAUCUUGGAAGGGUCAUGUGGUUUCCCCCUCACGCCUCCCUGCUUGCUCUGUUUUGCGCAGAUUCUCUAUAGUGGUGUGUCUAGCUGGUUUAGAGGCAGAUUGGCAUACAAAAAGCAUAUAAUAUGUUUCUGUUUCCAUUUUCUAGAUGGCGCACCAACCUUUUUGAAGCUCACAUCAUUUCUUUGUAGCACAGUUUUCUACCCUUGAGCAUAUUCACGAGUCUUAAAUCUUCAGUUGGCAUCAAGUGCGUAACAUAGUAAAAGCACCAAGUACCCUUCAUGACACUCAAAUAUAAUGCUCCUAAGCCUUAUUAAUCUUGACCAACGUUAUAAUAACGAUGAAUACAACAAGUCAUACAAGCGGGCACUGCUUGGAACAGAUAUGGCAGCCACAUCGAUGCAAAUCUCUUUGUGUGCCGAAGAGGUGGUUCUUGGUAACGUAGAUGUUUGGGUCCUCAUCUUGAUCGAUGAAGAGUGGAUUCUAAGAAGUAGUUAGCCUAUCCAUAUGAAAAGAACUAGACCAAAUGUACCUUACCAGAUGUUGAAAAUGGAUCAAUGAUCACUCAAUAGUGUAACAAGGAAAUAACACAAUUCGUAUCGGAUCUCGUCGAUUUCUCACACCUACACAAAUAAAGCCUUUGGUGGAGCUUGGUGAGGAUGGUGGACAAAAUAUAUGCAAUUGUUAGUGAGACUAAAUAAUGUUGAAAAAGAUUCGCAAAUUUGCAAAUGCAACAAGUUGACUAAUAGCAAGUAGUGGUACACGGAAACACACUCGCAAAUAGAUAAAUGGGGUUGUGCAAACCAAAAAUCAGUGGAAAUGUGGAAUCCACGGAAAAUGCUCGUGUUGCACAACACAAGAGAGACGCCAGCACGAUUGCACAAUAGGCGGAUACGGGACUUGUGCACAACCUAUAAAGCAAAAAUGCAACGACUUCUAUCCCAAGUAUCUAUAUGUAUGGUGUUCCGGAGGUAUGAUCCAAGAUGAUCGAGUAUGACAAUCUUAAUGUAGUAUGAUGCUAUGGUUCUUGCUUAAAAGCUCUUUUUCUUAUCUUUCUUUUUUGCUUAAAAGCUUGUUUGGCUCUUUCUCUUUUGAGCUCUUUCUCAUGCAAAACUUGACGAACCAAGGUAGUUAUUGUGUAUAUGCAAUGACAACCUUGUGACACAAGAGAUGAUGCCAAGAUAUGUGUACCAAGAUGAUGUGAUAUAUGCAAUGAUCACUAAUGUGCAGAAGUAACGUUGCCGGCAAUACUCAAAGGCUAGUCUUGAUGGGUAAGUGGCACGAAAAUGGGCUAUUGGGUUAUCAAUGCAAUGGCAAGGGUAGUGUACGAGAGUGUCGUUGAGGUUACUGUCCUUGCUUAUGGUGGAUGGUGUCAAAAUGAUGAAGAGGUCGAGGUCGAUGACAAAGAUGAGCGGCGCUGACGUCGUUGUCGAACCGUCCCUAAGUAGCCGAAACACGUUAGGAAACAGAAACCGCAACUCAAUUCUCAAAGACCAAAAGUGGCAAAAUUAUCGGAGUUUCUAGCGGGUAAGCAAUGGUGGUUGCGGAAAUCGGUGGUGGUAUGCUGCAAUGCAAUGUGGGGUUACGGGAGUGGUGGUGCAGAAAGUGUAGCGGGCGGCUGAAAAUUUUCCAGGGGAAAUUUCAGUCUUGUCAGGUUCGGUUGGACGUUCGGUGGGGGUCGGACGACCAUACUGUCGAACGUCCGUUGCCUGGGCAAUUUCGGGCAUGGGAUGAACUCUAGGGUUCGUGGUGGGUGCAAAAUGUGGGCAAAAUUGGACAAAUUUGUGGAUUGGAAAUGGGGGACUGAAUCUAGAUCUACCAGCUACACAUCAAAUCCACAGAUCAAAUCCAACAAAACUUCAUCACACCAACAAAUCACAAAAAAAAUUGGGGGCUAUUUUUGUGGGGAUUUUUGAAUUUAGGACGAAAUCAACAAAAUUAGGCUAGAAAACAAAGAGGGGAGGCUCCAAAUUCAUGAUCAACCUUGGCUCACGAUACCAAGAUGAUGUAGGGUGGAACCCUAGGGGCCGAUCUUUCAUGAUUUGGAGGGGAUCACAUGAAGAACACGAGGGGGAACAUGAUGCGGAGCAUCCUUCCAUCAUCCCCAUGGACUCUACACCAAAACAUCAAACCCCACGUGGACCCAUGACAAGAGCUAGAGCACGUGCAAUGGAAACCAAGGUGAACUCUUUCCUACUCGACAUGCAUAUGGAUACAAGUGGAACUUGGUUGCUACCUCACCAAAAUGCUCUGUGUGUCAUUAGGUACGAAAAUGAGCAUUCCCAAGCAGCUAAGAAGCAUCACCAAGGAGUUGGAGAACCACCCCAAGUCCACACAAAGGAACAAGAAGACAAAUAGCAACUAGACAGGAAGUCCCAGGCGACCCCGUGCGCGCGGGCCCCCGAGACCCCGUGCCCAGGGACUAUCCAGGGAGUUGGCGAUGUAGAACCCCAUGCACACGGGCGUGUACCGUGCACAGGGACCCCCGUGCGCACAGGCCCAACUUACCCUGUGUGCACUGGCCCUACAGGAUGGGCAUCUGAGAUUGUGUUUUGGACCUCCUCUCCUUCCACUUCGACCCCAAGCCUAUAUAUUCCGUACCUAUGGUUAUGUUUAGGGUUAGCAAAGUAUUAUAUGAGAUAUUUUUGUGCGUUGCUCCUUCUACCAAUCCAUUGGAGAUCAAGUCCUCUUAGGAGAGGAUCCACUUGUGGAUUUCAAGACCACCAUCUUGGAGAAGACUACCAUCAUCAAGACCUCAUCUCUAAGGAGUGGGAAGAAUUCUACCUAGUACUUGUUUCCUUUGAUUGUGCUUGUAAUCUUGUAGAUCUCAUGUAUGCUAUCUUUAGUAGAUGUGUGAUUUGGGUUUUGCUUGAGUGCUUGUCCAAUGUGUUCUUGUGUGUUCAUCACUUUCCCCACAUCCAAUUGUGAAAAGAUCCCUUCUAGGGUUCCACCCUACAACAUCUUGGUAUAAUGAGCAAGGUUGAUUCACAUCUUGGAGUCCCUACCCUCCACUUUCUAGCUUGAUUUUGUUGUUUUUCGUCCUAAUUCAAAAAUCCCCACCAAAAGAGUCCCAAGAUUUUUUUUGUAAUUUGUUGGUUCUUGUGAGAUUUGGUUGAUUUGAUCCACGAAUUUGGUGUUUGACAAGUUGAUCUACCCCCUACCACCUUCCACCACCUUUCCAUCCAUCACUUUUGGUUGGAUUUUGCAUAAUUUCCACGGAUCCAAAGGUGUUCAUCCGCUCCCGGAACACCCCGUGCACACGGGCCAUCGGGACCCCGUGCACACGGGUAUCACUCACCCCGUGCGCAUGGGCUACUCAGAGAAGUUUGACCACUCCCAUUUUCCUUCUUUUUGCCAUUCCACCACCACUUCUGCUCUUCCUUAGUACUUCUUGUGGUUGUUUGAGUUUUGGGUUGCGGUUUCCCUCGUGUCCUAAGGUGUUUCGGCUACUUAGGCACGAUUUGUCGUCAUCAUCACCGCCAGUCUUCAUCGACUCGGCCUCCACAUUGGCUUCGCCAACAUCACCUUCAUACCAACUGUAAGCAAGGACAGUAACCUCGACGACACCAUAGAAUUACCCUUGCCAUUACCUUCAUUGCUUCGAGCCUCUUUUGCGUAGGUUACCCACUGAGACUAGCGAGUUGACAAUUGUCAGACCAUGCCUUAGUACACCUUUAGUGUUACAUCUCUCCCGUGCAUAUAUUACUUAUUGAUUCGCAUUGUGGCUCACUUAUCAACCAUUGUGGCAUAGUAAAAAACCUAUUAAGCAAAAGAAAAAGAAGAGAAGCAAAGAGCUUGUAAGCAAUAGCAUCGAGCCUCAAAGCAUAGUUACAUCAUCUUUCUCACGACAUACUUAAUCAUACUUGGAUAGUAGAGUACCCAUUUCUCUCUUAGGUUGGUGCAAUCGAGCUAUAUCUUUCUAGUAUCCGCGAAACAAGAGCUUUAUCCAUGGUUACACAUCUUGUGCUCAUUCCUUGGUUGCGCGGAUCCCAUUUAUCUUCCGUGUGUGUGUUCCUAGAGAUAUCCUUGGGUUUGAUCUAUUUGUCUUACUUGCGAUUCGUGCAUCUUUUAAACCUUUUCAACAUCUUGACUAACAUUUGCUUGAAUUAUUUGUGCCACUUCCUAACCGAGAUCCAUCAUAAGCCUUUACUUGUAGGUGUGAGGAACAAAACCUGGUACCAAUUCUACUAUUAUAGCAUCAUGUGGGAUCGUACUUGAUACAUCCACAAUCUUCGAAAAAGGUAUCUUUGGUCUGUUCUCCCAUUUUUCCUACUCACCACCACUUCUACAUGAUGGAUAUGCCUUCUUCUUCGACGAACCCUCUCUUCGAGGAACAAGAUGAUGAACGCGACUAAAUCACCAAGAAUCACUUAUUCAUCGCGCAACGAGCUCUAAAUCAAGAGAGUGAAGCUUUGGGUGAUCGCAUCGAGCAACUCGCCACCGACCUACGACAAUCGGAAGCACGACAACGGGACUAUUUGGACACCAAGCUCUCCAAACAAAUGGAUGAAUUCCGCAACAUGAUCAUGAGCCGCGCAUCUUCCUCAACCUCUUCACCAAUACGGAGCCACUCAAGUCGACACUCGUCGUCUUACUCUUCUUCCGAUGCGAGUCCUCCUCGACGCAACGACACUCAAGAUCGCCAAGCUCAAGAAAAUCCUUUCCAUGGCAAUGACCUACACGACCGAGUUCGAGCAUGUGAUCAAGCAAGACGCCAACAACAAGAAGCUAUGGAGCAUGAUCUACCUCCACAAUGUCCUUGUCAAGCAUCUCAAGACGGCGAUGCAAUUCGGCAAGAGCAACAAAGUCGUGAAACUCAAGCUCAAGUGGCUCAAGACACACUCCAGAGUCCACUCAAGCUAUUGCCCAACGCAGCCGUCAAGUACGUGAGCAAGAAGAAGCCCUUCGUCAAGCACGACAAGAAGAAGUCGCUCGUUGUGAAGAACAACAAGAAAGGCGAAACCGGGAACAUAUGCCUCGACCGCCUCCACGGCAAGCAGAUCGACUGCUCGAAGACCCCCCCCCNNNNNNNNNNNNNNNNNNNNNNNNNNNNNNNNNNNNNNNNNNNNNNNNNNNNNNNNNNNNNNNNNNNNNNNNNNNNNNNNNNNNNNNNNNNNNNNNNNNNNNNNNNNNNNNNNNNNNNNNNNNNNNNNNNNNNNNNNNNNNNNNNNNNNNNNNNNNNNNNNNNNNNNNNNNNNNNNNNNNNNNNNNNNNNNNNNNNNNNNNNNNNNNNNNNNNNNNNNNNNNNNNNNNNNNNNNNNNGAGUGCUCAAAGACCACCCUCCAUGCCAAGAGCGACAUCAACAUCAUCACUAUGAUGGAGAACUCCACUACGGCAAGCUCAAGUUCACCAUGCUCAAGUUCUCCGGAAGCAGUGAUCUCGAAGAAUAUCUCUCAUGGGCAUUGAAAGUCAACAAGAUAUUCCGUCUUCACAACUACGACGAGGAAAAGAAUAUCGCCAUGGCAUCUCUUGAAUUUCAAGACUAUGUUCUCAUUUGGUGGGAACAAGUGAUCGAGCGACGCCACGAGAAGGACGAGCCACCCAUCAUGACUUGGACACAAAUGAAGGACGUCAUGCGAGCCCGCUUCGUGCCCACAUACUACACACGUGAUAUCUUCAAGAAGUUGCAACCUCUCAAGCAAGGCGCGAAGACGGUGGAAGAAUACUAUCAAGAAAAGGAGAUCGCCAUGAUACGAGACAAUGUCAAAGAAGAUGAUGAGCAAACAAUGGAACGCUUCUUGAACGGCCUCAACCACCCAAUAUAGAAUAUCACCAAUUUCCAACCCUACUCCAACCUUCUCUAGCUAGUUCAUCAAGCGACCAAGGCGGCACGACAAGUACAAGAAUAUUUCAAGUAUGCCAAGUACUCAUCCAAGACCAACGGCUCAUACACUCAAGCUACCUCUACUACAACUUUGGCACCUCCUACUCCGACUAGAGCAUCACCAAGUACUGGCGACAAGUCAAGCUACAAGCAAGGUAUGCCUUCCUCAACUCGUCCUCCGAUAACCAACUAUAAGAACAAGACUUCUUCUUCAUUGGCACCACCAGACGAUCCCGUCAAGAUCAGUUCUAUCAAGUGGUUCACAUGUGGUGGCCGUGGACACAAGUCUUUCCGAUGCAUCAACAAGCGAACCAUGAUCGCCAAUGAUGAUGGUACGUAUGACUCCAUGAGUGAAGAAAAGAUGGAAGCACUCGAGGAUGUCGCCAUGCAGUGCCAAGUGAAUGAAGAAGAAGAUUCUCAAGUCUAUUGUGACAACGAUUCAAGUCCCACUCUCGUGGUCUCCAAGGUCUUGACACUUCAACACAAACAAGAUGAAGACCAAAGGUGUCACAUCUUCCACACCAAGGCCGGCAUCAAUGGGCGCUCCGUGAAAGUCAUCAUCAAUGGAGGAAAUUGCCACUUGGAAAGUGAAGAGUUAUGUUCCAAGCUACAAUUGGUCAAGAAGAAGCAUCCUCGUCCCUACAAGGUCCAAUGGCUUAGCGACUCCGGUACCAUUCAAGUGGAGCACAUGGUGCUAGUUUCCUUCAAGAUAGGCGCUUAUGAGGAUACCUUGGAGUGUGACGUGGUUCCUAUGUCCGUGUGCCAUCUUCUCCGGAAGACCCUUUCAAUUCGACCUCGGCGUCAUCCACAAUGGGAGAACAAACCACUAUAGUUUCAAGAUGAAGGGAACAAAGUACGUGCUACAACCUAUGUCACCAGGCCAAGUGAUAGCCGACAAGAAAGCAUCUACCCAUCAUGGAGAGACUAGUGAGAGAGUGAACCACCACAAAGUGAGUGAGCGCCACAAGCCACAAUUGAGUGACUCUUUGCCAAAAGAGAAAAACUUGGUCCUCCUAGCCACAAAAAGAGAGAUGAGAGAAGUGUGUGAGGACCCAUCGAGUGUCAUGCACUACGUCCUAUUGUGCAAAGAUGAGGUGGCAAAGACUAACACUCCUAAUCCCCUUCCUCUAGUGUUGGCUGAUUUGUUGCAGGAAUUCAUGGAUGUCUUUCCCGAUGAGCUACCUCCCGGUCUUCCUCCUCUGCGUGGCAUCGAACAUUCAAUCGACCUCAUCCCCGGCGCACCUCUUCCUAACAAGGCUCCAUACCAUGUCAACCCCGAAGAAACCAAGGAAAUACAAAGGCAAGUCCAACAUCUCAUAGAUCAUGGAAAUGUGCGUGGAAGUUUGAGUCCUUGUGUCAUACCGGUAAUUCUUGUGCCAAAAAGAGACGAUAGCUUUUGCAUGUGUUCCGAUUGUAGACCUAUCAAUGCUAUCACCGUUCGAUAUAGGCGUCCCAUUCCACACCUUGAUGAUAUGCUAGAUGAGUUUAGCGGUACCUCCAUUUUCUCUAAAAUUGAUCUUAAAAGUGGCUAUUAUCAAAUCCGCAUACAAGAAGGUGAUGAAUGCAAAACCGCUUUCAAAACAAAAUUUGGCUUGUACGAGUGGUUAGUUAUGCAUAUGGGUUUAUCCGAAGCACCUGGUACUUUCAUGAGAGUUAUGGAUUACGUGCUUCGCCCUUACAUUGGUGUGUUUGUUGUAGUUUACUUUGAAGACAUUCUUGUGUUUAGAAACUCCCUCAAGGAACAUGAAGAUCAUCUUAGGGCGGUUUCACAAACUCUUAGAAAAGAGCGACUUUAUGCCAACAUGGAAAAAUGCACAUUUGACGUUGACAAGAUUGUUUUCUUGGGAUUCGUUGUGUAUUCAAAGGGUGUUCAUGUAGAUGAGUCUGAAAUUGAAGCAAUUAAAACUUGGCCACAACCCACUAAUUUGCAACAAGUGCGUAGUUUCCUUGGUCUAGUAGGUUUUUAUCGUCGCUUUGUGAAAUACUUUAGCACUACUGCCGCACCGUUGCAUGCUUUGAGUAAGAAGAAUGCACCCUUUGUUUGGUGACCCUUGCAAUCUACCGCGUUUGAUGAGCUCAAAUCUUUGCAUACACAUGCCCCAAUUCUUGCAUUACCUAAUUUCGACAAAAAAUUUGAGGUACAUUGUGAUGCUAGUGGUAAUGGAAUUGGAGGAGAUUUGAUGCAAGAAAAGCGACCCAUUGCAUACUUCAGUGAAAAACUCUCCAGUGCUCAACUUAACUACCCCAUCUAUGGCAAAUAAUUGUAUGAUUUAGUGCGAGCAUUGCAUGUUUGGGAGCAUUAUCUUCACCCACAUGAAUUUGUCAUACAUAACGAUCAUGAGACACUUAAGUACCUAAAAGGUCAAACCAAGUUGAAUAAACGGCAUGCUAAAUGGAGUGAAUUUAUUGAAUCUUUGCCUUAUGUGAUCAAGUACAUUAAGGGUAAAGAAAAUGUUGUGGCGGAUGCUCUUUCCCGCAAAUGCAUGUUAGUUACUCAACUUGAAUUGAGUGUGAUAGGUUUUGAACAUGUUAAAGCUCUUUAUGCCAAGGGUCCUUCCUUUUUGAUUCCUUAUGCAAAAUGUCUUGCUCACACUUGUUGGGAGAAAUAUUAUCUCAAGAAUGACUACCUUAUGUGCGCUAACAAACUUUGUAUACCAGAGUCUUCUCUUCAUUUGUUGCUUUUGCAAGAGGCUAACGGAGGUGUACUUAUGGGACAUUUUUGACGCAACAAGACCUUUGCUACACUCUCCAACAAGUACUUUUGGCCAAAAAUGUUCCGCGACGUCGCGCGGCUCACCAACCGAUGCUCUACAUGCUGCAAAUCUAAGUCAAAAGCUCAAUCUCAUGGUUUAUAUAUGCCACUUCCAAUUCCAUAUCAACCAUGGGAAGAUAUUAGUAUGGAUUUUGUGCUUGGUUUGCCUAGGACUCAAAAUGGAAAGGAUUCCAUAUUUGUUGUUCUAGACCAAUUCUUGAAAAUGGCACAUUUCACCCCAUGCAAUAAGAUAGACGAUGCUUCACAUGUCACAAAUCUCUUUUGUAGGGAAAUCUUGAGGUUACAUGGAGUGCCAAGGACCAUUGUGUCGGACCGCGACUUCAAGUUCCUAAGCUACUUUUGGAAGAUUCUAUGCGCCAAGCUCGGAAUCAAGAUUCUUUUCUCGUCGGCCUAUCAUCCACAAACCGAUUUGACCAACUGGAUGCUCUCCACCCUCCUACGCUUGUUGAUCAAGAAGAACAUUAAGGAGUGGGAGGAGUGCUUAGCCAUCGCCGAGUAUGCCUACAAUCGAGCUCGACAUUCGACUAUCGGCAAGUCCCCUUUCGAAGUUGUCUACGGCUUCAACCCUUUGUCCCCAUUGGACAUUCUACCUUUCCCGCUAUAAAAACACACAAACAUGGAUGCAAGUGCAAGGGCAAGCUUCCUCAAGAAGAUGCAUGAAGAUACAAGGGCAGCAAUCGAGCAUCAAGUACAUCGCAUCACCAACAAGCUCAACAUCAACAAGACACUAAUGGUGUUCCAGCCGGGAGAUCUCAUAUGGCUUCAUCUUCGCAAGGACCGCUUCCCCAACGAGAGCAUGUCAAAACUACUACCACGAGCCGACGGACCAUUCAAGGUGCUAGCACGCUACAAUGACAACACUUACAAUAUUGACAUCCCACGCGACAAGUACAACUUAAGCGACAUCUUCAAUGUCAAAUACUUGGCCAAGUACCAUGGUAAUGAAGAUCUUGUCCGUGCACGGAUCUCUCCCAACGGAGGGGGGAGACAUGAUGUGGAGCAUCCUUCCAUCAUCCCCCUGGACUCUACACCAACACAUCAAGCCCCACGUGGACCCAUGACAAGAGCUAGAGCACGCGCAAUCGAAAUCGAGGUGAACUCUUUCCUACUAGACAUGCAUAUGGAUACAAGUGGAACUUGGUUGCUACCUCACCAAAAUUCUCUAUGUGUCAUUAGGUACGAAGAGGAGCAUUCCCAAUCAGCUAAGGAGCAUCACCAAGGAGUAGUAGAACCACCCCAAGUCCACACAAAGGAAGGAGAAGACAAAAAAGCAGCUGGACAGGAAGUCCAAGGCGACCCCGUGCGCACAGGCCCCCGAGACCCCGUGCCCACAGACUAUCCAAGGAGUUGGCGUUGCAGCACCCCACGCGCACGGGUGUGUACCGCGCCCACGGGACCCCCGUGCGCACGGGCCCAACUUACCCCAUGUGCACGGGCCCUACAGGAUGGGCGGCUGAGAUUGUGUUUUGGACCUCCUCUCCUUCCACUUAGACCCCAAGCCUAUAUAUUCUAUACCUAGGGUAAUGUUUAGGGUUAGCAAAGUAUUAUAUGAGAUAUUUAUGAGAUUUGCUCCUUUACCACUCCAUUGGAGAUCAAGGCCUCUUAGGAGAGGAUCCACUUGUGGAUUUCAAGACCUCCAUCUUCGAGAAGACUACCAUCAUCAAGAUCUCAUCUCUAAGGAGUGGGAAGAACUCCACCUAGUGCUUGUUUCCUUUGAAUGUUCUUGUAAUCUUGUGGAUCUCAUGUAUGCUACUCUAGUAGAUGUGUGAUUUGGGUUUUGUUUGAGUGCUUCUCCCUUGUGUUCUCAUGUGUUCAUCACUUUCACCACCUCCAAGUGUAAAAAGACCCCUUCUAGGGUUCCACCCUACAACAUAACCUGAGGGGAAACAAGAGGAAACACUCAAACAACCUCGAACCAAUCACACACGUGCUAGAUUCAUGAACACAAAGAGGUCAUAAAGAUCCAAAGACAACAAAGGAAAGAUACAAGUAGCUAGUUCUUCUCCAAGAGGAGGUCUUGAAUCCGAGAUGGAUCUUCUCCUAGGUGGAUGGCUUGAAUCCACUUGGGGGAUCUUCUCCUAGAUGAAGGGCUUGGCCGCCAAUGGAGUAGGUAUUAAGUGGAUGAGCCAUACUUUAUCUCUCAAAUGAGCUAGAACUAUUGCUAACCCUAGAAAGAGGAAGGAGGAGGAGUAUAUAUUGUCUAGGGUCACGAAAGGGUAAAUGGGCUUCGGCCCGACACGCUGUACACAGACAGGUGUCAGACGUCCAACAGUUACCAGUCGUCCGGUGUCUUGCUGGUGCCGGGACAUUCGGUAAGUGUCGGAUUUCUGACGUUUUGGCUUUGAUGGGCAUCCGUCGGAUUUCCGGCCGAGGUCGGGCAUCCGUCGGAUUUCCGGCCGAGGUCGGACAUCCGGUGCGUCGGUCGUUCGGUGGGCUUCAGACUCUCGGUGUUUUGGCGCUGGUCGGUCGUUCUUGGAUAUCCGAUGGCUUUCAGACGUCCGAUAGCUGGGCGCGUCGGUCGUUCGGUACUUGUCGGUCGUCCGGCCGCUGUAGCAUUCUGGGACUUGGCUAGCUAGAGUUUUGGGCGUCGGACGUCCAUCAAGCCUCGGUCGUCCGGUGGCUGGGGAUUUUCUGGCAGCUCCUCUUCUUGUUCCUUGUACUCGGUGUCCUCGCUGUCUUGGCCGUUGGAUGUAGUUGUUCCGUGGCUUCUUUCUAAGUACCUUAUCACACAUAGUGUCUUCGCUUGAGGUAGUAGCCAUGUCUCACAUGAAGAAUGUAUAAGUCGGAGAGGAGCGAGUUCACCUUAUCUUCAAUAGCCUUUGCUUGAACUCUUGUCAUUAGUCCAAGUGGUGUCGUGGGAGCCGUAGAUAGGUCCAUGGGGAUGACCUUAGGAUGCUCCGCAUCAUACGCUCAAAUGCUUCAUUCUCUUGAUGCAAAGCUCUUUGCAUGCCGAGAGGUGGUUCUUGGUGACGUAGUUGUUCAGGUCCUCAUCUUGCUCAGUGAAGAGUGGGUUCGAAGAGGUAGUUGGCCUAUCCAUCAUUGCAAGCAAAUAUGUGAGUGGAAGAAAGGAAAUAACUAUACCAAAUGUACCUUAACCGAUGAUGAGAAUGGAUCAAUGAUCACUCAAUAGUGUAGCAAGGAAAUAGCACAAUUGGUACCGUAUCUCGUCAAUCUCUCACUCCUACACAAAUAAAGCUUUUGGUGGAGCUUAGUGAGGAUGGUGGCACAAAAUUUAUGCGAAUGUUAGCAAGACUCAAUAAUGUUGAAAAAGAUUCAUAAAUUCACAAAUGUAACAAGUAGACCAAUAGCAAGAAGUGGCACACGGAAACACACACACACACACACACACACGGAGAGAUAAAUGGGGUCGUGCAACCAAGGAAUGAGCUCAAAAUGUGGAAUCCACGGAAAAUGCUCUCGUUGCGCAACUCUAGAGAGACGCUAGCACAAUUGCACAAUAGGCGGAUACGAGACUUGUGCACAACCUACAAAGCAAAAAUGCAACGGCUUCUAUCCCAAGCAUGCUAUAUGUAUGGUGUUCCGGUGGUAUGAUCCAAGAUUGUGGAGUAUGACAAUCUUAAUGUAGUAUGAUGCUAUGGUUCUCUCUUAAAAGCUCUUUGCUUAUCUUUCUCUUUUGCUUAAAAGCUUAUUGCUCUUUCUCUUUUGAGCUCUUUUGUUGGUCACUUAUGCGAAACUUCAUGAACCAAGAUAGCAAUUGUGUAUAUACGGUGACAACCUUGUGACACAAGAGUUGAUAUCAAGAUGCUUGUACCACGAUGAUAUGGUAUGUAUGCAAUGGGAAACAACGAUCACUAAUGUGCACAGGCAACAUUGUCGACAAUAUCAAAUGGCUAGUCCGGUAGGAAAGUGACGCAAAAAUGGGCUAUGGGGUUGUAGCGACCCGACCUCAAAUGAUCAAGCUUCUGUGUAUCUGUGCCAUCCCUGGAUCAGCAUGCUGGCACACAUAGUACAUCAAUAUAUAUAUAUAUAUAUAUAUAUCAAAGUGUAGUCACAUGUAUAAAUAAUGUAAAACUGAUAUAUACCUCGUAAGUCUCAGCGGAAAUAAUCAAUCGGGGGUGGAGUCCCAUCAACGCCAUCGGCAGGUUGAGUGUAGACUGUAACCCUAUACCGUAGCUCUUACUCAUUGAAGAAAUAUCUGCAACAUGAUACAUUGCAGCCAUGUAGGUCAGUACAUUGAAUGUACCGACAAGAUCACUGUAAGAAAAAUAGAUUAUAAGACUAUACUAUAUGCAAUAUGGCUUUGUGGCUCUGUGUCUGAGUUUUGUUUGCGUAAAAGCUGCUUUUAUUUUCCGUACCUCAAAGGAAUAACAUGAGUCUGUACUACAGAGUUUUCUAUCUUGACAUGGUUCCGCCAACCGAUGUGCAUAGCCCAAAUCAUCAUAAGUUGCCCACAAUCAGUCCGGUGUUGAGAGUUCCGAGAUAGAUCCAAGUCCAGAUGCUCAAGUUGUUCGUAACUGGGAACAUGGCUAAUCGAUUAGGUUUUAACCCUCUGCAGAGGUUUGUACACUUUACCCGCAAGAUUUGAUCCCUCUUUUUACAUUCUCGCACUUCAGGGUGUUUGAGAACAAGACGACCAAAGCAUUGUCUUUCGGAGAGUUCCCCUGACCACUAUCCGGCGCUUAUCCAAUCCUACCGUAGUUCUACAUCUGCUAGCAUCGUCCCAGGCAGAGUCACAACUAAGGUCAACCAAGCCAUAGCCCAUAGUUACUUGCAGUUGCAUAGGUAAGCUUCCAGGCAUGAAAUAUUCUUCCGUCUCUUUGAGUCUGGGUGAAGCUUUCCGCAAGAUGUCAUGGCGCUUCUCCAUGCAUCCCGGCCAUCCACUGGUUUAUCUAGGGUGCCUGUCAACCGUCCUUCACCCAGUAGUGUGUAUUCAAUUCUAUUCUCGAGUCCUGAGGUCUUGAGGCCUUGAAGAUGCAGUCCUUGCAGAUUCCAUCAUGGAGUUGUUGUCAUUAACGUAGAGUCCUCCUUCACACCACUCUCGUGCACUCAUACCAAACCCCGUCUACUAUAGCGUAGCAUUAAAACUAUAUAACAUCCCAGGCUGGUAACAGGGAGAUGGGUUCCUACCUCAUGCAUUCUACUCAACUACAAGAUUCAAUAACACUACUGGAGGAAUUGUUGCAAAUAUGACACUAAAUGCAAUAAAAACAUAGGUAUGAAAAGCAUGGUCAAAGUGAACUUGCCUGAUAUUACUUGAUGAAGAUUGUAACGCUCUCAGAAAAUAACUUGAUAAUAUCCAUCACUCCGAUGUAAAUCUAUAUUAAACAUGCAUGGCAUUCACAUAAGCAAGCCUUCUACCAAGCAAUUCUAACAAUCAUUAAAGAAAUCAAAAUGUAAUGCAUCAAAUAAAAUCAAUAAAGAAAAUCAAUAAUAGAAACCAAAAUAAAAGUCCAAGAAGAACUUCAAAGAAAACCACGAGAAAAACUUCCAAGGAAAAGUCUAAGACUUUACUACAAACAAUAAAAAUAGCUUUUGACUUAUAUUAAACUAAAAAAAUUAAUAAAUCUCUAAACUAAUAAAUUAACAGGAAAGAAAAAUGAAAACAACUAACUUAACAGAAAGUAUUUUUCAUAAAAUUUUACUAGCAAAAAGAAACACAUAAAAAGCUUCUGUAAAACUCUGUUUAUACCCUAUGCAAGUUUUCAUGCAAAACUAAAGAAAAUAAAAUUUUAAAAUAAGAACAAAAUUUUCUACUGUUUAAUAAGAGAAACAAAACUAAAUUUGUCAAAAGUGACAAAAAGUUAAAAACAUUUUAAAAACCAUAGGAAAUGAAAAUAACACUAAACUAUGUAAAAUAGUGUUGUUUUGCCUAAAACCCUAAUUUAAAAUAAACAAAAACUAAUUUGCAAAAGUCUACUAUUUAGAUAAAAGAUCAAGUGAUCACUAGCAAAAAGAAUUAAUCAAAAAGCUAUUUUAAAUCAAAAGUUAUUAGCAAUCUAGUGUUUGUAACAAAUCUGUUUGAAUAAAAAGUUCAAAAAUAAUUUUCGUUGGUUUCUCUGGAUAGACGAGAUUUUUGUGAAAUCGUAGGAAAAAUAAUCAUCAAAAUCGGAGUUGUGGAUCGAACAAUAUAAAAAAACAAAACUGAAUCUAAAAUUAAAAAUAGAAACGAACAACAACAACAACAACAACAACAAAAAAUCGUGCACUAGCUACGUAGCGGGCUGUAACUGGGCCUAAGGGGUGUGCGUUCUGUACUAAGCUACUCUCGGGCGUAUUAUAACUGAACCGCUAACACACGUACAAUUAAAAUAAACGGCGUACCGGUUCGAUCUAAUCGAAGAAAACCGAUCUACAAAAACAAACCGACCUACUAAACCGAUCAAAUAUUAUUUGCACUUAACAUUUCGAAAAAAACAGAGGGAGGCGCUCGUUGUUGUUGCUUACAGAGAGGUUGGCGCUCACAGGGAAGUAGGGCGCCGACGGGGUGGUGGCUCCGGACGCCGGCGGUGGAGGCGGCGAUGUCCAGCGGGUGCGGGUCGUCUAGGGCGACCGAUUUUUGUUGAACGUGGGGCGAUGGGUCGUCGGGGACAGCGGAGAUGACGAGGAUGAGGUGGCGGAGCGUGCGGAGUUGGGGCGGCCUCUGUAGAUGACAAAUGAGAGAAAAAUCAUGUCAAAACAGAACGUGGGGGGUAGACUAGGCCGUUGGCCGGAGUUGGAAAAGCUAGGAGAGCUCACUGAAGUCAGAAUAGACGGAGGAUAGCGGCGGCUGCAGCGAGAUCCGAACGGCAUUUGCGGCGGCUGUGGAUGGUUUUAGCACAUUUCCCAAAUUACAAUGAUAAGCACAUCUCUGAAAAUCAAGAAUGCGGUGAGAAUACAAUCAAAUCAUGGUCACUGGUUCCACCUUUAUUACCGGAGGCACGCAAUUAGAAUAUAGAAUAUAAAAUAUCCCACUAAUAAAAAUAUACAAUAAUUAGGUUGUUUUGGCGCUAUUCUCGAAUUGCUGAUCAUGCAUGCUCAAUAGAAUUACCUAGCAACGUGUACUGUUUUUUUUUACCAUUUACUCAUGUACAGGGCAGAACAAAAAUCUCAUGAUAAUGUAAUAAAUACAGCAUGCCUGCAGAGAAAUUAUUUUGCUCCAUAAACCACUUCUAAAAUACGCCCCAUAUAACUUAGUACAUCAGGAUGUUAUGUUUUAUACUGAAGCACAAAGCGAUACCUAAAGAUAUACAUAGGUCAUAUCAUUGUUUGUACUGCUGGACAUCCAUACACAUAGUUUUAACAUUUUUUGUUAACUGAACAAAAAAGUCCAACAGUACUAACGUUCCUGCAAUACAUAUAUAGACUUAUAGAGAGAAGUAGUCAACCGUAGCUCUACCUGUAUUCGUUCUUGAGUGUGGAUCAAAAUUGGAGAUAUCAGAAAGAGGGUCUUGUCAAUGCUUUCCAGUUAUGACUUAUGAGCCACCUAUGAAUUAGAUACGAACAAAUAUGUAGGAAUAGAAGAUAAGUGGACAGUGGAUGUACUAGAGUGGUGUAUAUAGUUGGUUCAAUAGUAGGACACCAAAAUGAUUAUGACGAGAAGAAAUUGUCUUGGAUUCUGCACAACUUCCACGAGAAGGAUUUAGGCAAACUCUGAACUUCUAAGGAUAGAACCUCUGAGUAAGCCAGAACCCAUUGUUAACUUUCAUGACAGCAGAAUAAAACACAAUCAAACUACAGUAACUCAGGGAAACUACUAUCAGAUUUCUUGCAUGUGAAAAUUGAGAAUGUUUAUUAAUCCAUUUAUUUACAACUCACAAGCGGAUGUGCAUGACAUGAUCCUACUCCUAUUGACGCAUUAAGUAUGCAGAGCCCAUAGGCGAUGUCGUUUUUCCAUAUGUGUGAGCCUUUCAGUUUGUGAUUGGCAUAACACAACUGACUUGCACAAGCACUGCUAAAAGUUAAAUGCAUACUUUUUAUUUGAUUCAAAAUGCAUUUCAUGUCAGUGGUUAAAAACAGCUCGAAAUUUUGGAUAAAUUUCAUGUAAUUUGCUUUGCACCUAUUUCAGAGAAUUUGAUCAUAAAUGUAGUGCCAAACUGCCAUAUGGUGUUGUUUGCUGUGUUCCUACUUCGGAGAAUUUGAUAAUAUAAACAUUCGUUGGAAGCAUUUUUUUCUAAAGGAUUUUUUGAGGCAAACAACAGAAUGCUUUUAGCUUGUGAUUCACCAGAUAGAAAUCACAAGGCAAGCUAAAUCAGGUCCUUGAAGAGCUAAAAUGAACAGGGGUUCAGGAUUGUGGAACUCACCUUUUCCCUAUAAGAAGUGAACGUUUAAAAUUCUUCGCGAAUAAACCUCUGAAGAUGGACGACAGGCCUCAAAUUUGAUUGUAUGAACUAUUAUUUCUUAAACCCGACUGUGUUUCAUUGUAGUGCUUCCCUCUCCUCAUACCUGAAGCAUAGAGUUAAAUUCUAAUCACACAUUACUUGCAUAUUAACCAGAAAGCAACACACACUAGUUGCGUAUCAAUCAACACAGAAGAUGUACCAGGAUUUUAACCUGGAAAGGAACCCACAAUUGCGACUGUCCUUCCCAGAGAUAAUGGAUGCACAGCCAAGAAUCCCGCCGUAGAUUCCAUCAAACAGCUGGAGGUAGCGCUAAGACGUCGGGGCAACGGGCAUAGAAACGGUGUGCGUAGCGCCCAUGGUCUCGCGUGAUAGGUGCGGCAGGCAUGUAGGUAGGCAGCAAAGCAACGGGAAGGGUAAGAGCGAAGGGGAGGAGGGGGCAGCCUUACUAAAUAGUGGGCGUCGAAGCUGAGGUCCCGAGGUCGAGGAUCACCGUCGAUCCCAAGCCGGCAGUCGCGGGUGCGGAGACACCGGGCCGUCACACCAGAUGAGGCGCGCUGGCGUCCCAUGGAUGUGGGGGCGCUAGGGCAUGGAGGAUGCCUCGUCAGCGGAUGAUCGGAGGGAAGAUAUUAGGGAAAACCAGGCGGGUUUGAGAGAGGAAUCGACGAAGGGAGAUGGCGGAGAGAAAAGAUCUAACUUUUUUUUUUCUUUUCAACUCUACUUUUUUGGCUUCGUGAUAUUCGCACGGUGAAGCCGUGGAGGUACAGUCGGGCGUUGUUGGAUAUCCGAUGGCUGUCAGACGUCUGGUUGCUGGGGCACGUCGGUCGUCCAGUGCUGUCGGUUGUCUGACCGCUAUUGCAUCCUGAGACUUGCGCUGGCUGGAGCUUCAGGUGUCAGACGUCCGUUAAGUCUCGGUCAUUCGGUGGCUGGGGAUUUUCUGGCAACUCCUCUUCUUGUUUCUUAUACUCGGUGUCCUCGCCGUCUUGGCCGUUGGAUGUAGUUGUUUCAUGACUUCUCUCUAAGUACCUGGUCAUACAUGAGGUCUCUGCUUGAGGUUGUAGCCAUGUCUCACAUGAAGUAUGUAUAAGUUCGUAGAGGAGAGAGUUCACCUUAUCUUCGAUAGCCAUUACUCAAGCUCUUCUCAUUGGUCCAAGUUGUGUCAUGGGAGACGUAGGUAGGUCCAUGGGGAUGACCAUAGAAUGCUCCGCAUCAUCUUCCCCCCUUUGGAAAGAUCCGACCUCGGAUCGAGAGCCUCACCACCAUGGUAGGGAGAGAGAUCCUUGAUAUUGAAGAUAUUGAUCAUGAAGUACUUGUCGCGUGGUAAGUUGAUCUUGUAUGCAUUGUUGUUGUAGCGCUCAAGAACCUUGAAGGGUCCGUCGGCUUGGGCUCGUAGCUUGGACUUGCGUUCGUUGGGGAAGUGUACCUUGCGAAGGUGUAGCCAUACGAGAUCUCCAAUGUUGAAUAUCAUGGGUUGAUUGUUGACGUUGAGCUUGGUCGUGAGGCGUUGUAUGGUGCUCAACGGUGUGCCUUUUAUCUUCAUGCAUGUUCUUGAGGUAGCUCACUCAUGCACUCGCGUCCAUGCUGAUGCACUCUUGUAGUAGUAGCGGUAAAGUGUCCAAUGGGGACAAUGGGUUGAGGCCAUAGACGACCUCGACGGGGGACUUGCCGGUAGUAGAGUGUCUUGCUCGAUUGUAGGCAUACUCGGCGAUGGGUAAACACUCCUCUCACUCCUUUAUGUUCUUCUUGAUCAGCACGCGGAUGAGAGUGGAUAGCGUCCGGUUUGUGACCUCCGUUUGGCCGUUGGUUUGUGAAUGGUAUGUGGAGGAGAACAUGAGCUUGAUUCCGAGCUUGGCGCAUAGGGUCUUCCAAAAGUAACUUAAGAACUUGACGUCGUGAUCCGAGACAAUAGUCUUUGGCACGCCAUGUAGGCGCAAGAUUUUCCUACAAAAUAGAUUUGCAACAUGUGAAACAUCGUCUAUUUUGUUGCAUGGAAUAAAAUUUGCCAUCUUAGAGUAAUGGUCCACAACAACAAACAUGGAAUCCUUUCCAUUUUGAGUUCUAGGCAAACCAAGCACAAAGACCAUACUAAUAUCUAGAGACCAUGGGAUUGAGCUUUAAACUUAGCUUUGCGACAUGUAGAGCAUCGGUUCGUGAAGCAUGAGAUGUCACAGAACAUCUUAGGCUAAAAGUAGUUCUUUGAGAGCGUAGCAAAGGUCUUGUCCCAUCCGAAGUGUCCAUAAGUUCUCCUCCACGAGAUUCUAUCAAAGGUAACAAACAAAGACAAGACUCGGGGGUACAUAGUUUGUUAGCACUCAUAAGAUAACCAUCUUUGAUGUAAUAGCAUUCCCAAGAUGUAUGCAUCAAACAUUGGGCAUAAGUAAUAGCAAAAGUAGGAUCAUGCGCAUACAAGUCUUUUAUGUGCUCAAAGCCAAUAACAUUCAAUUCAAGUUUAGUAACAAGCAUGCAUUUGUAGGAAAGCGGAUCUGCCACAACAUUCUCUUUGCCUUUGAUGUACUUGAUGACAUAGCGAAAAUACUCAAUGAAUUCACUCCAUUUAGCAUGACGCUUGUUCAACUUAGUUUGACCCUUAAGGUACUUAAGUGUUUCAUGGUCGGUAUGAUGACAAAUUCAUGUGGAUGAAGAUAAUGUUCCCACUCACGCAGAACUCGCACUAAUGCAUAUAGCUCUUUGUCAUAGAUGGGAUAAUUGAGUUGCGCUCUAGAAUUUUUUUCGCUAAAGUAAGCAAUAGGGCGCUUCUCUUGCAUUAACACACCUCCUAUGCCAUGACCGCUAGCAUCGCAAUGAACUUCAAAAGUUUUGUCAAAAUUGGGUAAUGCAAGCACAUGAGCAUGAGUAAGCAAAUUCUUAAGUUCAUUAAAUGCGGCAUCUUGGGAUGGUCCCCAAACAAAAUGUGCAUUCUUCUUACUCAAGGCAUGCAAGGGAGAAGCAAUGGUGCUAAAACCCUUCACAAAGCGACAAUAAAAUCCGGCUAAGCCAAGAAAACUACGCACUUGUUGCAAGUUUGUGGGUUGGGGCCAAGUUUUAAUAGCUUCGAUCUUGGUGUCGUCUACAUACAUGCCCUUGGAAGAAACGACAAAUCCUAGGAAGACAAGCUUGUCGACACCAAAUUUGCAUUUCUCCAUGUUAGCAUAGAGUCCCUCUUUGCGAAGAGUUUGCAAAACGGUUGUAAGAUGGGUGACAUGAUCUUUGAGAGAUUUGCUAAAAACAAGUAUGUCGUCAAAGUAGACCACGGCAAAUACACCAAUGUAGGGUAUAAGCACAAAAUGCAUGAUGCGCAUGAAAGUAACGGGUGCUUCGCAUAAACCCAUUGGCAUAAGAAGCCAUUCAUAUAACGGAAAUUUUUGUUUUUGCCACUCUAGAGUUUGCCAAUUUUGCUUAUGCCACUCUAGAUUUUUGACAUUUCACUUUUGCCAUGCUUAGCUUUUGACAAUUAUCACAAUUGCCAUUCUGUUGCAAAAGCAAAAUAAUUUUAUUUCAGUUUUGCCACUCUUAGCUUUUGAAAUGUAUCACAAUUGCCACUCUAAAUUUUUUGCUUUUGCCACGGUAAUGGCAAUUGUGAUAAUUGUCAAAAAGUAAGAGUGGCAAAAGUGAAAUGUCAAAAUCUAGAGUGGCAUAAGGAAAAUUGGCAAAAUCUAGAGUGGCAAAAACAAAAUUUUCCCUUCAUAUAAGCCAAAUUUGGUCUUAAAUGCAGUUUUCCAUUUGUCACCUUGUAUGUGAGUUUGGUAAUAGCCACUUUUAAGAUCAAUUUUAGAGAAAAUUGUGGCUCCGCUAAGCUCAUCUAGCAUAUCAUGUAAGCAUGGAAUAGGAUAUCUAUAGCGAACGGUGAUAGCAUUUAUGGGUCUACAAUCAGAACACAUGUGAAAACUACCGUCUUUCUUAGGUACUAGUAUGACCGGUACGGCACAAGGACUUAAACUUUCAUGCACAUUGCCCAUUGUCCAUGAGUUGUUGUACUUGCCUUUGUAUUUCCUUGGUUUCUUUAGGGUUGACACGGUAGGGAGCUGAUGCGGAGCAUCCCUCAACUACUCGCACCGACACUCCAUCACCACCGCAAGCACCAAGUGGACCAAUGACAAGAGCACAUGUGAUGUCUACUACACAACCUUCUUCUUGUAGACGUUGUUGGGCUUGCAAGUGCAUAGGUUUGUAGGACAGUAGCAAAUUUCCCUCAAGUGGAUGACCUAAGGUUUAUCAAUCCGUAGGAGGCGUAGGAUGAAGAUGGUCUCUCUCAAGCAACCCUGCAACCAAAUAACAAAGAGUCUCUUGUGUCCCCAACACACCCAAUACAAUGGUAAAUUGUAUAGGUGUACUAGUUCGGCGAAGAGAUGGUGAUACAAGUGCAAUAUGAAUAGUAGAUAUAGGUUUUUGUAAUCUGAAAAUAUAAAAACAGCAAGGUAACUAAUGAUAAAAGUGAGCGUAAACGGUAUUGCAAUGAUAGGAAACAAGGCAUAGGGUUCAUACUUUCACUAGUGAAAGUUCUCUCAACAAUAAUAACAUAGAUAGAUCGUAUGACAAUCCCUCAACAUGCAACAAAGAGUCACUCCAAAGCCACUAAUAGCCGAGAACAAACAUAGAGAUUAUGAUAGAGUACGAAACCACCUCAAAGUUAUUCUUUCGGAUCAAUCUAUUCAAGAGUUCGUACUAGAAUAACACCUGAAGACACAAAUCAACCAAAACCCUAAUGUCACCUAGGCACUCCAUUGUCACCUCAAGUAUCCGUGGGCAUGAUUAUAUGAUAUGCAUCACACAAUCUCACAUUCAUCCAACCAACACAAAGUACUUCAAAGAGUGCCCCAAAGUUUCUACCGGAGAGUCAAGAAAACGUGUGCCAACCCCUAUGCAUAGGUUCAUGGGCGGAACCCGCAAGUUGGUCACCAAAACAUACAUCAAGUGGCACGUGAUAUUCCAUUGUCACCAUAGAUAAACACGGCAAGACAUACAUCAAGUGUUCUCAAAUCGAAGACUCAAUCCGAUAAGAUAACUUCAAGAGGGAAACUCAAUUCAUCACAAGAGAGUAGAGGGGGAGAAACAUCAUAAGAUCCAACUAUAAUAACAACGCUCGCGAUACAUCAAGAUCGUUCCAUAGAGAGAACACGAGAGAGAGAGAGAUCAAACACAUAGCUACUGGUACAUACCCUCAGCCCCGAGGGUGGACUACUCCCUCCUCGUCAUGGAUAGCGCCGGGAUGAUGAAGAUGGCCACCGGUGAUGGGUUCCCCCUCCGGCAGGGUGCCGGAACGGGCUCCCAAGAGGUUUUUGGUGGCUACAGAGGCUUGCGGCGGCGGAACUCCCGGUCUAUCUUCUUCGUGGAUGUUUUUAGGGUACGUGGGACUAUAUAGGCGAAAGAAGUCGGUCGGGGGGUGCUCGAGGGGCCCACGAGACAGGGGGGCGUGCCCAGUAGGGGGGCGCCCCCUAUCUCCUGGGCUCCUCGAGGAUCUUCUGACGUGAACUCCAAGUCUCCAGGAUCAUAUUCUUCAAAAAAAUCACGCUGCCGAAGGUUUCAUUCCGUUUGGACUCCGUUUGAUAUUCCUUUUCCUCGAAAUACUGAAACAGGCAAUAAAACAACAAUAUGGGCUGGGCCUCCGGUUAAUAGGUUAGUCCCAAAAGUAAUACAAAAGUGCAUAAUAAAGCCCAUAAUCAUUCAAAACAGAUAAUAAAAUAGCAUGAAUGCUUCAUAAAUUAUAGAUACGUUGGAGACGUUUCAGCAUCCCCAAGCUUAAUUCCUACUCGUCCUCGAGUAGGUAAAUGAUAAAAGAAAUAAGUUAUGAAGUGUGAAUGCUAGAAGGUGCACAAGUUUGAUCAAUGAAAAUUUCAAUCACCUUUCCUAACAUGAUUAUAUGUCAUAACAGUGGUUCAUCUCAUUAAACUUCUCACGAACAAGUAACAAGCAAUUCACAUGUUAAAGCAUAGACCAUAAACUUUCUUGAAAACUAGCAAACUUCAUUCUCAGUCAUCAAACAAUUGCAAUUCAUCUUGUUUUCAGGAAUAACAAACUCCACAUACUCAACUAUCAUAUAGUCUUCUACAAUUGCUAACACUCACGCAAUACUAAUGGUUAUGGAGUUUCAAUCGGACACUGAGAAAGAUAGGGGCUUAUAGUGUUGCCUCCCAACAUAUUCACCUUUGGGUGAUGUCAACAAUAAUAGUUCAUGCUAACUUACAUCCAAUUGGAUAUAUAUANNNNNNNNNNNNNNNNNNNNNNNNNNNNNNNNNNNNNNNNNNNNNNNNNNNNNNNNNNNNNNNNNNNNNNNNNNNNNNNNNNNNNNNNNNNNNNNNNNNNNNNNNNNNNNNNNNNNNNNNNNNNNNNNNNNNNNNNNNNNNNNNNNNNNNNNNNNNNNNNNNNNNNNNNNNNNNNNNNNNNNNNNNNNNNNNNNNNNNNNNNNNNNNNNNNNNNNNNNNNNNNNNNNNNNNNNNNNNNNNNNNNNNNNNNNNNNNNNNNNNNNNNNNNNNNNNNNNNNNNNNNNNNNNNNNNNNNNNNNNNNNNNNNNNNNNNNNNNNNNNNNNNNNNNNNNNNNNNNNNNNNNNNNUAUAUCAGGAUCUUCCCAACACGAGGUGCUUGCCAAAGGAUAAAAAGAAAAAGGGAAAGGUGAAGAUCACCUUGACUCUUGCAUAAAGGUAAAAGACAUAAAGUAAAAGAUAGGCCCUUCGCAGAGGGAAGCAGAGGUUAUCAUGCACUUUUAGGGUUGGGUGCACAAAAUCAUAAUGCGAAUGAACGUCACUUUAUAUUGCACUUGCAUAUGGACCUUUAUUAUGCAGUCCGUCGCUUUUAUUGCUUCCAUAACAAGAUCGUAUAAAGCUAUUUUCUUCGCACCAAAAUAUCAUACAUAUUUAGAGAGCAAUUUUUAUUGCUUGCACCGAUGACAACUUACUUGAAGGAUCUUACUCAAUCCAUAGGUAGGUAUGGUGGACUAUCAUGGCAAAACUGGGUUUAAGGAUAUUGGAAGCACAAGUAGUAUCUAUACUUGGUGCAAGGAAUUUUUGGCUAGCAUGAGGGGAAAAGGCAAGCUCACCAUGUUUGAAUGAUCCAUGACAAUAUACUUUAACUGAGAUGUCGGAAAACAUAACCCAUUACGUUGUCUUCCUUGUCCAACAUCAACUCUUUAGCAUGUCAUACUUAAUGAGUGCUCCCAAUUAUAAAAUAUGUCUACAAUAGUGUAUUUAUAUGUGAAAUCUCUCUUCCUUCAAUAUUCUUUCAUGAAUUGUUCAAAUGACCAAUACAACGCUUGCUAACCUUCAAUAAAUUUACAACCUCUACUUCUUAGAUGUGAAGUCAUUACUCCCCAUGAGAUAAGCAAAUGAGGCAUAUAUAAUUUCAGAUUUAUGACAAUCAACUCAUUCAACAAUUUACUCAUAGGAUAUAAGUGAAGCACACGAGUAAAUGACAAACUACUCCAACAAGAUAUAAGUGAAGAUCAAUGAGUAGCUAUGUAACUAUGUGAAGACUCUCUCUCAUUUAAGAAUUUCAGAUCUUGGUAUUGUAUUCAAACAGCAAGCAAAACAAAAUAAAAUAACAUUGCAAGGAUAGCACAACUCAUGUGAAGAAGCAAAAACUUAGGCUCAACCGAUACUAACCAAUAGUUGUUGAAGAAGAAAGAUGGGAUGCCUACCAGGGCAUCCCCAAGCUUAGAUGCUUGAGACUUCUCGAAAUAUUAUCUUGGGGUGCCUUGGGCAUCCCCAAGCUUGAGCUUUUGUGUCUCCUUAAUUCCUCUCAUAUCAUGGUUUCUCUUUUUAUCAAAAGUUUCAUCCACACCAAACUCAACAAGAGCUCGUGAGAUAGGUUAGUAUAAACCAAUGCAAAACCUUAUCAUUUUCUACUGUAACAAAUCACUAAAAUUAUUAUUCCACAUUGCAUACUAAAUGCCUCUGCAUAUUUAAUACUCGUAUCCUCAAAUAGAAUCAUUAAACAAGUAAACAUAUGCAAACAUAACAUCAAUCUAUCAAAACAGUACAAUCUGUAAAGAAUGCAAGAUUGAUCAUACUUACCUAACUCCAAAAAUUAUGAAAUAAAAUUCCCACUGUAGUAAAUUUAUCAGAGAUCAUUAUGCAAAAAGUUUCAACAUUAUACCAUUCUCUAUCUUUUCUAGGGAAUUUUUGCAACAGCGAUAAACUUUCUGUUUUCAAACAGCUAACAUGUAUACUAGCAAAAUAAGCAUGGUAAAGGCUAUCCUUGACAUUUUUAUUGAAACUAAAGAUGCAAAACAAUAUUCUAAAUAACAGAAAGCAAAUACUAACAAAAUAAAAUGACGCUCCAAGCAAAACACAUAUCAUGUGGCAAAUAAAAAUAUAGCUCCAAGUAAAGUUACCGAUGAACGAAGACGAAAGAGGGGAUGCCAUCCGGGGCAUCCCCAAGCUUAGGCUUUUGGCUAUUCUUGAAUAUUACCUUGGGGUGCCUUGGGAAUCCCCAAGCUUAGGUUCUUGCCACUCCUUAUUCCAUAGUCCGUCGAAUCUUUACCCAAAAUUUGAAAACUUCACAACACAAAACUCAACAGAAAACUCGUAAGCUCCGUUAGUAUAAGAAAAUAAAACCACCACUUAGGUACUGUAAUGAACUCAUUCUAAAUUCAUAUUGGUGUAAUAUCUACUGUAAUCCAACUUAUCUAUGGUUCAUACUCUCCGAUACUACUCAUAGAUUCAUUAAAAUAAGCAAACAACACAUAGAAAACAGAAUCUGUCAAAAACAGAACAGUCUGUAGUAAUCUGUAUCAAACGUAUACUUCUAGAACCCCAAACAUUCUAGUACCAAAUUAUGAAGUCCUAAUAAAUUUGUGUACCAAUCCAGAGCAAAAAGAAUCAGAUCAUAAGCACGUUUCUGUGAAUUAAACAAACUAAUUUACUGGGUGCAAAAGUUUCUGAUUCUCAGCAGGAUCAACACAACUAUCACCGUAAGCUAUCCUAAAGGUCUUACUUGGCACUUUAUUGAAACAAAAGCCAUAAAACAUGAUUAUUACAGUAGCAUAAUCAUGUGGACACACAAAAAUAGUAAGGAUAAAUAUUGGGUUUUCUCCCAACAAGCGCUUUUCUUUAAUGCCUUUCUAGCUAGGAUGAUGAUGACAACGAUGAUCACAUAAAAGAUAAGAAUUGAAACAUAACAGGAGCAUCAUGAAGCAUAUGACUAGCAUAUUUAAGUCUAACCCACUUCCUAUGCAUAGGGAUUUUGUGAGCAAACAACUUAUGGGAACAAUAAUCAAUUAGCAUAGGAAGGUAAAACAAGCAUAGCUUCAAAACUUGAAGCACAUAGAGAGGAAACUUGACACUAUUGCAAUUCCUACAAGCAUAUGUUCCUCCCUCAAAAUAAUUUUCAGUAGCAUCAUGAAUGAAUUAAACAAUAUAACUAGCACCUAAAGCAUUCUUUUCAUGAUCUAUAAGCAUAGAAAAUUACUACUCUCCACAUAAGCAAAUUUCUUCUCAUGAAUACUAGUGGGAGCAAACUCAACAAAAUAAUUAUCAUGUGAGGCAUAAUCCAACUGAAAACUAAAAUCAUGAUGACAAGUUUCAUGGUUAUCAUUAUUCCUAGUAGCAUACAAGUCAUCACAAUAAUCAUCAUAGAUAGCAACUUUGUUCUCAUAAUCAAUUGGAACCUCUUCCGAAAUAGUGGAAUCAUCACUAAAUAAAGUUGACACUCUUCCAAAUCCACUUUCAUGUUCAUCACAAUAAGAUUGAACAUCCUCCAAAAUAGUGGGAUCACUACUUCCUAAAGUUUACACUCUUCCAAACCCACUUUCAUUAAUAUAAUCAUAAUAAAUAGGAGGCAUGCUAUCAUCAUAACAACUUUGCAUAUCAAAACUUGGGAUGCUAAAAAUAUCAUAUUCAUUAAACAUAGCAUCCCCAAGCUUGGGACAAACAUUAAUUUCAGCAAAUAUAUUCUCAAAUAUUUCAUCCUCAUCAAACAUAGCUUCCCCAAGCUUGGGCCUUUGCAUCAUAAGCAUAAUCACUCUCAUCAUUAAUAGUAUGGAUAGCACCAAUAGUAUAGCAAUUAUCAUCAUCACAAUGAGUAGUAGGAGUAACAUCAUUUGGGAGGGAUACCUUUUUACCUUUGUUGCCCCUUCUUUUCCUUUUCUUUUUCACAUUAUGUGUGGGUUCAACCUUCUUCUUUGAGCUCCUUAUAGAUGAGAUUGGUUGAAUAGAAAGCUCCUCCUCGUUACCUGAUUCAUCAUAAGAAAUAAUAGGAGGGUAUUGGGAAGUCUCUUCCCUUUCAUUACUAUUUUCAUCAUCUUCUAUUUGCUUUCUUUUCUUUAUGUAAUUGUCAAUAUAAGGAUUUUCAAUGCAAUUAAAUCUUCACUAGAUCAAUAUCAAGGAAUUUCUUAUGGGCAAAUUCUGGAAUGUCCUUAAUUAAAUGUUUCAAUUCUUCAUAACCCAAAAGUAAACUAAGUUCAUUGUAAUGUGCAAGGGAAAUCAAAUAAUCACAAUUUUUGGACACGAUUCGAUCAUGAAAUAAUUUGCAUAGGAGAUGUAGAUGACCACGUUCAUUGCAUAGUUCACAAGUACGGCAAAGGAAAUUUAAAUUUUCAGCACUCACAUUUAGCCUUUCUUGCAAACAUUUAGUUUCUAAGUGCUUAUGCCUCUUGCAAUAUAUAUCUUCUCUAUUUGGUGUGUUCAUGCAAACAUGCACUCCACAAAAGUUGACAUGCUUAUAAGAGAUAUUUUCAUCAUGACUAGAUCAAUCAUCAUUAGUACUAUGGAUAUUCAAGGAGUUCAUACUAACAACAUUGCAAUCAUGCUCAUCAUUCAAAGAUUCAGUACCAAGCAUUUUAAUGCACUCUUCUUCUAGCACUUGAGCACAAUUUUCCUUUCCAUCAAACUCAUGAAAGAUAUUAAAAAGACGAAGCAUAAGAGACAAACUUAACUCCAUUUUUUUGUAGUUUUCUUUUAUAAACUAAACUAGUGAUAAAACAAGAAACAAAAAGAUUCGAUUGCAAGAUCUAAAGAUAUACCAUCAAGCACUCACCUCCCUGGCAAUAGCGCCAGAAAAGAGCUUGAUGUCUACUACACAACCUUCUUCUUGUAGACGUUGUUGGGCCUGCAAGUGCACAGGUUUGUAGGACAGUAGCAAAUUUCCCUCAAGUGGAUGACCUAAGGUUUAUCAAUCCGUAGGAGGCGUAGGAUGAAGAUGGUCUCUCUCAAGCAACCCUGCAACCAAAUAACAAAGAGUCUCUUGUGUCCCCAACACACCCAAUACAAUGGUAAAUUGUAUAGGUGCACUAGUUCGGCGAAGAGAUGGUGAUACAAGUGCAAUAUGGAUAGUAGAUAUAGGUUUUUGUAAUUUGAAAAUAUAAAAACAGCAAGAUAACUAAUGAUAAAAGUGAGCGUAAACGGUAUUGCAAUGAUAGGAAACAAGGCAUAGGGUUCAUAAUUUCACUAGUGCAAGUUCUCUCAACAAUAAUAACAUAGAUAGAUCAUAUAACAAUCCCUCAACAUGCAACAAAGAGCCACUCCAAAGCCACUAAUAGCGGAGAACAAACAUAGAGAUUAUGGUAGGGUACGAAACCACCUCAAAGUUAUUCUUUCGGAUCAAUCUAUUCAAGAGUUCAUACUAGAAUAACACCUUAAGACACAAAUCAACCAAAACCCUAAUGUCACCUAGAUACUCCAUUGUCACCUCAAGUAUCCGUGGGCAUGAUUAUAUGAUAUGCAUCACACAAUCUCAGAUUCAUCCUACCAACACAAAGUACUUCAAAGAGUGCCCCAAAGUUUCAACCGGAGAGUCAAGAAAACGUGUGCCAAACCCUAUGCAUAGGUUCAUGGGCGGAACCCGCAAGUUGGUCACCAAAACAUACAUCAAGUGGCACGUGAUAUCCCAUUGUCACCACAGAUAAACACGGCAAGACAUACAUCAAAUGUUCUCAAAUCAAAGACUCAAUGUGAUAAGAUAACUUCAAGAGGGAAACUCAAUUCAUCACAAGAGAGUAGAGGGGGAGAAACAUCAUAAGAUCCAACUAUAAUAACAAAGCUCGCGAUACAUCAAGAUCGUGCCAUAGAGAGAACACGAGAGAGAGAGAGAGAGAUCAAACACAUAGCUACUGGUACAUACCCUCAGCCCCGCAGGUGGACUAAUCCUCCUCGUCAUGGAUAGCGCCGGGAUGAUGAAGAUGGCCACCAGUGAUGGGUUCCCCCUCCGGCAGGGUGCCGGAAUGGGCUCCCGAGAGGUUUUGGUGGCUACAGAGGCUUGCGACGGCGGAACUCCUGAUCUAUCUUCUCCGUGGAUGUUUUUAGGGUACGUGGGACUAUAUAGGCGAAAGAAGUUGGUCGGGGGGUGCUCGAGGGGCCCACGAGACAGGGGGCGCGCCCAGUAGGGUGGGGGUGUCCCCUAUCUCCUGGCCUCCUCGAGGAUCUUCUGACGUGAACACCAAGUCUCUAGUGUCAUAUUCUUCCAAAAAAUCACGCUGCCGAAGGUUUCAUUCCGUUUGGACUCCGUUUGAUAUUCCUUUUCCUCGAAAUACUGAAACAAGCAAUAAAACAACAAUAUGGGCUGGGCCUCUGGUUAAUAGGUUAGUCCCAAAAGUAAUAUGAAAGUGCAUAAUAAAGCCCAUAAUCAUUCAAAACAGAUAAUAAAAUAGCAUGAAUGCUUCAUAAAUUAUAGAUACGUUGGAGACGUAUCAACGUGCACGCGCCAUCGAGAACGAGGUGAACUCUUUCCUAUUCAAGUCUCGUUUGGGUUCAUGUGAGGAUUGGAUUCUACCUCAAACGGAAACAUUGCUCACUCUUAGGUAGGAGGAAGUUGACCGCGAGAAGGAGAAGACGGAGAUGCGAGCCUCCAUGGAGAAAGAGAAGGAAGGAGAGAGCAAGAAGAGCGAAGAAGGAGGAAGGGAGAUAAAACCCCCUGAGCACUCUGGGUGCUCGGCCUCCCAGCCCCGGGUACCUGGCCGCACCACCUGGGAGCUGCCCAGGCCUGGCCCGGGUGCCCGGCCCCUUGCCACCCGGGUGCCUGGGUCCUCCUCUCCCAGCCAUUGGUGGCACCCUCGGGUGCCUGGCCGGACCCAGCCGGCCUCCUGGCGCCACCCCGGGUGACCGGGCUUGGGACCCCCGGGUGCCCGGCCAACUCCCAGCCGGCCCCCUGCCUAGGCCGGGUGCCCGGCCCCUCGCGCCCUAGGUGCCCGGCCGAACCUGGGCGUCCUCCCCUGACCGGUCCGGGUGCCCGGUCCCGUGGCCCCGGGUGCCCGGACGACACCGUGGGCCUGCGUGCCUCCUCGGGGCUUUGCCCUUGUAUCCCCCACCUCUCUCAUUUCGUCCCCAAACUAGUUCAUUUGUAGGGUUAGCAAAGAUAUUAGAACACAAAAGAGGGCUUUUCUCAUCUUCCUCCUUUAGGAUAUCUAGACCUCCACUUGGAGAAGCUCCUCUUGGAGAUCAAGCUGUCCUCUUGGAGAAGAUCCUUUUUGGAUGCAAGACCUCACCUAGUGAGAAGACCUUUACCCUAGUGCUAUUCCCCUUGGAUUGAUCUUGUAAUCUUGUGCAUCUCAUGUAUGCUACUCUAGUGGAUAUGAUAUUUGGGUUUGUUUGAGAGUUUUGUUCUUGUGUUCUUGAGUGUUUUUCCUCCUUUUUCCCCUCCAAGUGUGAAAAGAUCCCACCUAGGGUUUGACCCUACAACAUCUUGGUAUCAUGAGCAAGGUUUAUUCACAUCUUGGAGUCCCAUCCCCCCAUUUGCUAGCUUGAUUUUGUUGUUUUUUUGUCCAAAUUCGAAAAUUCCCACAAAAAUAGCCCCAAAUUUUUUUUUCUUGCAAUUUGUUGGAUCUUGUGAGAUUUGGUUGUUUUGGUUCAUGGAUUUGAUGUUUGGCAAGUGGAUCUAGCCCCUCCCCAACAAUCCCCACCCUUCCCACCACGAAAUUCGCGGAAUUUUGCUUUUCCCCCAAAUUUUUCGCCCAUCCCGAAGACCACCGGGUGCCCGCACCUCGAACCCCCGGGCACCCGCACCUCGCCCAGCCACCCCCGGGCACCCGCACCCGACACCCCCGGGUGCCCGCACCACCCCAAAUCAGCCCACUACCAACACCAUUUUGGCCAUAACUUCCACCUCCCAAGUCCGUUUUCGUGUUCUUUAGCUCGUUUAGAAGCUCUUGACAUCCCCCAUCCACUCAUCCCACUACCACCACCAUUAGCCCCCAUCCAAAAAAUCAUCACAAAAACACCCACCUUCCGCAUUUGCCUGAUUUUGUGUUGCCUUUUUCGUUUCCUAAGGUGUUUCGGCUACUUAGGAGCGUGUGACAUCUUCGUCACCAUCAUCGACUCGGAGUCAUCUUCAUCGCUAACCGUAAGAAAGGACGGUAACCUCGACGACACUUACUCCUUACAUUGCUUUUGCAUUGAUAGCCCGAGCCACUUUGCGUCGCUUACCCAUUGUGUCGGAUUUCGGGUUCCGGCAGACCCUUGAGGUUCGAACACUGGGGUGCGCGCGGAGAUUUCGCCCUCAAUCUACCUGCUCGUCGCCGAAUCGCUAGGAUCUAAACUACGAAAGGAACAACACAAGAGACAUGGGGUUUAUACUGGUUCAGGCCACCAUUGUGUUGUAAUACCCUACUCAAGUGUGUGGUGUGGUCGAUUGCCUCUCGGGCUGAUGAUGAACAAUACAAGGAGGAACAGCCUCGCGAGGGUCUGUUCUUGGCUGGUGCGACAAACUUCUAGGAGGAGUUCAGUCGCUCUAUCUACUGGUUUCUUGGUGAGGAUCCAGAUGCCUCUACCCUGGGGGUGGCUAGUCUUAUUUAUAGGCAAAGGCCCUGGGCCUCUCCCCAAAUAUUGAGCGGGAAGGGCGCCAACAAUUGGCCAUUUUGAAGGGGAACAACGGGUACACCUAUCCUGACUAAAGUUGGUCCUCGCCUGCCAAAGGCUCUGGUGGUGACACCUGCUUGGGCUCCACAAUGACUUCCUCCCUGCCGUUGGGCUGGUCUUGGUCUUGUUGCACCGAAAUGGAUGCUUUUGCUUGAUGCUCUCGCCUGCGCUUGCUCCCUUUGCACCAAAGAGGAAAGGAGGACACUGCGCGGGCUGGCGCCUGACUGGUACCCUUGGUCGUCAUGGCUUGCGUCAUGGGCACCUCGCGAGGUGCCUCGCCUUGAAUCUCCGCCUCCUCAUGAGCCCGCCUGAUGAGGCUGUGCCCGAAGAAGCUCCUUGUCGUCCGCCCCGCAAGGCUUGGCUCCUCGCGAGGGUCUUGGGCUUGUGUUGAUGAAGAUGGGCUGUGCUAGGCCCCCUUCGAGCCACGUCGCAGGCCGCAGGCAGGCAAGUCUGGGGCCCCUCGUUCCCAGAACGCCGAUAGUAGCCCCCGGGCCCACGGCGCGCCCGUACUUGGCCGAGCAGAGAGGCGAAAGGGCAAGUGCGAAGCGUCGCGGGCCCUUACAGCCUGCGGCCUUGGGCGUCGCGUGGCGGUUGAUUGGACAUGGGCGCCUCUGCAACCAGGCGAGUUGAUAAAGGAGACGCAUCUGCCCCUUGCCUUCUUUGCUUUCUCCAGUUGCUGCUCAGAUCCCCUUUCUCGCGCCUCUCCUCCCCGCCUCCGAAAUCUUCAGAUCUACUCUGUCCGAGCACCCUAGCCAGACAUGGCGCCUCACCAAGCCCCAGCCGGAGCUUGGUAUUCAUCCGCCUUGGACUCGCCGAACGUGUCGGAGGCGAGCCUUGCCCGGGUGCGCCAGAUGGCGGCGGCGCAGGGCAUCGACGGGGCGAAGGUGUUCAAGGCCAGCUCUGCCCUCCCUGAAGGCCAAGGGAGCACCUUCUAUCCGCUCUUCGUGAGCGCCAUUGUCGCCGGUCUGGUGCCUCCCUUUUCUGAGUUCUUCUUCUCUGUCCUCCGCCACUAUAACCUUCAAGCUCUGCACCUCCAUCCCAACUCUGUUCUUCUUCUGGCAAUCUUCGCCUAUUAUUGUGAGGCUCACGUAGGGGUGAAGCCCUCAGUGGCCUUGCUGCGCCACUACUUCUCCCUCCGGACCUCCCGUGGUUCCGUCUCCGCGUGUGCGAGCUUCGUUGCGUACGACAGCUUCAUCGCCAUUUCGAACCCUGGGAAAAGGAUCGAGGGCUUCAGGAGCAAGUGGGUCAUGGUGGAUGCUGGGCGCAUCCACCAUCGGGUGAUUCUGCCCACGGGGCACCCCGCGAGCUCCGACGACUGGUCCCGAGUGGAGCUUGUGGAUCCCCGCGUGAAGCCGGUGUUGGAGAAGAUGGACGCGGAUCUGAGGCCGGCCAGCAUGGCGGCAGCGAAGCUGACCGGUGCAUCGCUGCUGAGGGAGUUCCUGGAGCACUAGCUGGCUCCGCUUCGUCAGUACUCACUUCCGAUGUGGAGGCCCCACCCGAGCCCCGCAGUCUUGGCCGACGAGGAUCUGGCUGCGGUUCUCCAAUCUUUGGUUGGGGGCGACGUGGCGAGGUUGGAGGGCGCUCCUACGCCCCUGUUCCUCCGCGAGGACUGGGAGCAGCUAGUGGGGUCCAUGCCCGCCUUUAAUGGGGACGGGCCCGUGCCCGUGGAGGCUCCCGAGGACCCGGUGGACGUGUCCUUCGGCGACUCCAGCGAAGAGAAGGGAAGAGAGGAGCGGGAAGAGGGGGCUGACUCCGAGGCGGAGUCAAGGGCUCCCCCCCUCCGGUGCAGGUCCCGCCCUCUCUACCUCUCUCUGAGUGAUGACGACGAGGGUGAUGGCGAGCAGGGCGGCGGGAGCCUGCCCCCGAUCCUGAAGAAGGACCAGACCGGGCUGAUCCCCCGCGGGUCUGCCCCAGCCCCGAAGCGAUCCGCAGGCGCGCUUUCUCCUCCCGAGCCCCUUGAGGCUGAUCCUUGCAGCCGGCUUUCGGGCUUGAAGUACGGCCGGAGGCUGCUCAAGCCUGCAAGCGACGACCUGUAAGUGCUUGAUUCCUGUCUUGUUUAUUGUUCUGUUGUUGAGGCUUGACGCUCGUGUCUCCCGGCUAGGCUGGCGCCCGUGGCAAAGAAGUCAAAGGGAGCCCCUGAGGUUCCAUAUGCGGCACGGGCCUCUGCCCGUGAAAGAGGGUGACCGUGACGCACGGGCCUCUCCUGCCCGUGCAUCCUUGUGAGGCCUGGCUGAGCCGACCGGGGCGAGCUCAGCCCCCAAGGCCCAAGCGACUCCCGAGGUGCCCUUGCCUGAUGCCGCCACCACAGCCGUCGUGGCGCAGCAGGUUGCACCUCAGGAUACCGUGAUCACGCUGCCGUCUUCUCCUCCUACUCCUCCGACAGCUGCUUCCCCGACCACUGUUCUGGAUCCGCUGUUGCCGAACUGGACCGUCUGCGGCAGGACCUUCUGGGCGCUGACCCUCGCCUAGUGGCCGGGCGCUUGGAGCUAGCUUCUGGCUGGAUUCGCUCCGAUGCUUCAAUUCGUGCGGCGCUGGUCCAGGCCUCGACGGCCUGCGAUGAGGAGAAGCAGGCCGUCCUUGGGGCGAAGGUUGCCCGCGACGCCGCCUUGGGGGAGGUGACUAACGUUCGAGGUCGCUGCGAGGCGCUGGAGAGCGAGCUGAAGGGCCUGCAAGAUCGGCUCGCCGAGGAGACCCGCCUUCGCCAGGAGCAGGAGGAAAGCAUGAAGGCUCUCAAGGCGGCCAGGACCGAGACGCCAAGCUUAAGAAGUGCCGUGACUGCCUGGGCGCGCAGGAGCAAGAGCUGGAGGCGAGGAAGGUUGAGUUGGACGACAAGGCACGGGUUCUUGCCGAGGAUCGCGUGGCCUUUGCGGAGAUGGAGGAGAAGGCUCGCACUUCAUUGAAGACGCUUUACGGGAGCGGCCUGGAGAGCCCGCUGGCCGGCGAGGAGGAUGGCCCCGCCAAUCUGCUUCCCUUCCUGGUUCGUGAUCUUGAAGAUGUCACCCUUAGCCUUGGCCCUACGGCGGAGGCCGAGGCACGCGUCUUGUCUUCUGCAGCACUGACGCGGGUCUUCACCCACAUCUAUCUUCGCGACCCCAAUGUCGACCUCUACAGCCUGCUGGAGCCAGCGAGCGGCGAGCUUGCCGCUACCGCUACUGAGGCCGUGAAGGGUCAUGCGGAGGCUCUGCUGGGGAAGUUCCGGGCCUUCAGCACCAAGCCGAAGCGAAGCGCUGCUGGCUUUGCUGCUCCACAAGGCGAACUCGCUCCACGCAGCUCCACCGCCGGCAAAUGACUCCGUCGUGGCUCUCGUCCUGCUUUUAAUUCCUGCGCAUGUACCACGCCUCGGGGAGGCGUUAGAACUUGUAUUUGGUGCUGCGAUAACAGUAUGAACUGUAAUAUUUGCUUUUGAAUUCCCUAAAAUUUGCACUAUUCCUUCCUACUUGCUUAUGUUCUACGCCGGCAGAGCCCGGCCCCGCGCAUACCUCAAUCGCCGUUAGCCCCGAUCGGAAACCAGGACGGGGCCAAGGGGUGAGGGGCUACGUGACAAGUUAGGCUCCUGAGUCGCGAUGCUCAGGAGUCCCCCUUGGCGCUCGAACAACAAGUAGGGAGGUGAGAUGUGGGGGUGACUCCUUAGGGAGGUGAGAUGCGGGUGGAUCUACCGUUCUACGUCUGCAGAGCCCGGCCCCGCGCAUACCUCAACCGCCGUUAGCCUUUCGGAACUAAGGAGUGAGGGGCUACGUGACCAGUUAGGCUCCUGAGUCGCGAUGCUCAGGAGUCCCCCUUGACGCACAAACGGCCUUCGUACCUUAGCUCCGCUCGGGGAGGGACGUGUGAUGAACCAGGCCCGGGGGCCUAGCUGGGUGGCGUGCGUCUGGGUGUAACCCAGGCGUAGCCCCCGUGCCCAGCCCCCUCGCGCGGCACUCCUGAGGGGAGGCAUUGCGAUGAGGCCAAACACUGAGCUCGGGGCUCCCUGAGGUUGAUGCGGCCCGGGGGCCACCCUCAGUUGUCUAUCACCAACGCGAAGCAUAGCGCUUCCGUAUGUGUACGGGCAUAGCCGCUCCUCGGCAGUGUCGUCAGCCAGCGCAGAGCAUGGUGCUUCCACUGGUACGUGGGAGGGGGCUCCCCUCCGGGAGGAGCCCCCGGGGCGUAUACAGCCCCGCCCUGACACGUGGCUGGCACGGUAGGGCUGACAAGGUGUAUCUGGGCACCCGUGGGCCAGCGCGGGACUCACGGGGCCCUACCUCAAGGCGGGUUGAGCCCGGCUCUGGGCCUUAUCUUGGAGUGUGUUCCUGAAAAUUUGGCUAGAUGCCGGUGCUCUACGUCCUCGGGUCCCGGCCCUCGAGCUGGUCUCAGCCGUCGCUGGCAUGCCAGGUCGCGAUGCCAUGGACAAGACCAGAGGGUGAGGGCUGGAGAGCCGGUAGGAGCCCUGAGUCGCGAUGCUCAGGCACCCCCCCUUUAACGCGCAAGCUGGGUUAGAUGUCGAAACUCUACGUCCUCGGGUCCCGGCCCUCGAGCUGGUCUCAGCCAUCGCUGGCAUACCAAGUCGCGAUGCCAUGGACAAGACCAGAGGGUGAGGGCUGGAGAGCCGGUAGGAACCCUGUGUCGCGAUGCUCAGGUGCCCCCCCUUUAACGCGCAAGCUUGCGACAUCCAAGCAAAGGUGCUACGGACAGGCACCGAAUAACAAACAUGAUGGGUCGAAAGCAUGGCCCCGAGAUAAACGCAAGAGGGGUACACGCCGCUGGGUCUGACCCGAGCGGCUUGGGGAUGAUGCAGCCCGAGGGGCGCCCUCGAUAAAGUAAGCUAAGAACAUGAAAUAAAAAGGGAUACACGCCGCAGGGACGGACCCACAUGGCCUGGGAAUACUACAACCCUGAGGGCGCUCCCAGAUGGAAAUGAAACUUGAAAAGUGUCACCUGAUGAUGUCGGGGACGAAGGGGUGUUGGUGUAGCAAACUCGGUGGGCUGCGGGGGCCGAUCCUCACGAGCCCCCAGGCCCAGGGGCCUCGGGAGGCCCCGGAGGCGCUGGUGGCUCCUCGCGGACCAUCUCCAUCUCCGCCAGGGCUGCGGCGUGCCUGACCUCUUGAGCCUCCAGGAUGGCCCUCAUGAGGCGCUGGUACGCAGCAGCCGCGUUCGGCAAGCCAUAAGGCAUACGAACGUAGCUGUGGGGCGGACCUUCACAGCGUCCCACUUGCGAGUGCCAGAGGCGCUGCUGAGACGCGGCUCGGUUGAGCCCUGGUAUGUCGAUGAAGACGCGCAGCCCACCAUCCUCGCCUGGAUGGGGGGCCACGGCGGGUAGGCGGCGGCUGCCUCUCAUGACUCUCGACUCCUGUAGCUCCUGAAUGGCCUUGCUGACGAACUCCUGUGGGUUUGGCCCUCCUUGCCUUGCUCCUUCUCGAGGGAAACGUGCUCCAAAACAUGCCUCCAUGUGGUGCCCAAGCGCCUCCCUCGUGACUUUGGCGAGGUCGGCGGCCCUCCAGGGGAGAGCCCCCGAGCCCUGCCUGAGGAGGGCGCCGGGCGCGCUUCCCUAUGCGAUGGAAGGAGCCUCCCCCUGAGCAGGCGCGGGCCGUGAAGGGCCUGCCUCCUGAGGGGCCGGGCCAGACGAUGUCUUCUUCUUCUUGGGGGCGGCCUCGGGAAGCCUCCUGCUUCCGCGAUCCGGGUCUUCCAGCGACGCGACCUGAAAGGCUCGCUCCAGGGAGCACACUGCGUCUCUCUCUUCAUAGGGCACCGUGAUGACUCCACCACUUCCUGGCAUCUUGAGGAUGUUGUAGCCGUGGUGGGUUACGACCAUGAACUUGGCCAGCGCUGGGUACCCGAGGAUGGCGUUGUACGGCAGGCGGAUGUGGGCGACGUCGAAGUCGAUGAGCUCGGUGCGGUAGUUGUCACGUGCACCGAAGGUGACAGGAAGGCGAACCUGCCCGAUCGGGACCGUGGAGCCGUCGGUGACUCCGGAGAAAGGCUUGGUUGGCUGAAGCUGAUUGUAGGGCACUUGAAGAUUGUUGAACGUUUCCACGGACAGGACGUUGAGCCCUGCCCCGGCAUCGAUGAGGGUCCUGGUGACUAGCACGUUGCUGAUGAUUGGGGAACAAAGCAUCGGGAGGACUCCGGCUGUGGCCGCGCACUUGAGCUGAUCCGCUGAGCUGAACGUGACGGCGCAUGCCGACCACCUGAGAGGGCAUGUGGCCUCGAGCUUGGGGAGGGCCGCAUUUACUUCGCGGGCGAACUGCUUGAAGAUGCGCUGAGAGGCUGGGGCUUGAGCUCCGCCCAGGAUGCAGGCGAUCGCGCGUGGUUCCUGGAAGCCCCAGCCCCCUCGUCCUGAUGACGGUCUUCAUUUCUUCUUGGCUGCGGCGGCAGCGGAGGGAGGCCUGCGUUCCCUUGCGGGCGAUCCUCGCGAGGCUGAUCCCUCUAGCCUCCCUCGCGAGGCGAGUCCUGCCAGCGAUCCUCGCGAGGUUGGUCGCGCCACCCCUGGCGUGGGCCGCGGUCUUCCCAGCAUCCUGCGUUCCUUCCUCCUCCUCGGCCGUAGCCCUGGUCGCUGCGGUCGGGACAUCGGCCGACCCUUCCUUCACGCACGGCACGAAGCUCUUGGCAUUCAUUGGUGUUGUGGGUGUGGAGGUCGUGGUACACACAGUACCGACUCCCAUUGGAGGGUUCGGGCUGAUCUCUGCCCUGCUUGGUGUCUGGCUCUGCCGCGAGCACGGCAGCCCCUUUGCGCUUCACGUCCUUGGCCUUGGGCUUCUUCUCUUCUGGGUCUGCGGCAGGCAGUUCGAGGAGGGAGAGGCACCCCUCCUCAGCCCUGGCGCACUUGGUCGUCGAGUUGAACAGCUCCAAGGAGGUGCACAGGUCUUCAUGCAUCGCCAGCUCCUCCUUCAUCUUGACGUCGUGCACACCGUCAGAGAAGGCUGAGAUGAUGGCCUCCUCGGUCACCUUGGGGAUCUUGAGGCGCGCGUUGUUGAAGCGCUGGAUGUACUUAUGCAGGGUUUCCCCUGGUUGCUGCUUGAUACGGUGCAUGUCGCUUACGGCGGGUGGCCUGUCGUGAGUACCCUGGAAGUUGGCGAUGAAGCGGGUGCGCAUCUCGUCCCAGGAGGAGAUCGUGCCUGGAGCCAGAUUUGGGAGCCAGGUGCGGGCCCCGUCCUUGAGCGCCAUGGGAAACCAGUUCGCCAUGACCUUCUCGUCUCCGUUGGCGGCCUCGAUGCCCAGCUCGUAGAGCUGGAGGAACUCUGUGGGGUCAGCCGUCGUAGCGAGGAGGCAGGUCUGGCUUGAACUUGCCAGGCCACACGACGCUGCGUAGCUCGGGGGUGAAGGCGAGGCAGCCCGCUGUGGCCACAGGAGGCCUUGGGCGACCAAGAGCUGGGUCCUGUGGGUCCCCAUGCGCUGCAGCUGGGAGCAGCGCGGGGUCUUGACGUGGUGGAGUAGGGAGCGCUUGAGCAGCUUCUUGAGGGCGAGGGACUCCUUGGCAGCUCUACUCCUGCCGCGCUGGCACCUGACGGAGCGGGUUUCGCUCAGGGGCCAUGCGCCUAGGGGCCAGGGCGCCUUCUCGAGGGGGAGGCAGCUGAGGCGCCCCAGGAGCUUCAUUGCCUGCGCAGGGCGGGGCGCGGUGCAGCGAGAGGACGGCGCGGGGGAGCCCGCAGCGGCGCGGACGAGCUCGGCGACUCGGUCGAGCCACUCGUCGUAGACGUCGUCGAUUGGGCGGUAGUGCAGGAUCUCGUUUGCCGCAAUGAGCGUAGCUCGAGCCUCCAUGGCCGCGCGGUGCGCGCGAGACAAAGAACCAGCGGGGGUGAGCGAGGGUGUAGCAGUGCGGCCGUCUCACCUCAUGGAUGGGUGCUGGGACGAUGCUUGCUGCUUGUUCCCCGCCGGGCCGGUGGCGGCGUUGACGGCAGGUGACUUGCGACAAUCCGAGCAACGUACAAGAGACUACUUCGACACAUCAAUGGCCUCUCUCAAGGAAGACAUACAAGCCAUGAUGGUCAAUCACUCCUCUACGACAUCAUCCUAUCCAAGAUGGACCCACUUAAGUUGACAUUCUUCACAAUCUUCUACGGAUGCAAGUCCUCCGAGAGCUUGUUCAUACCGUUGCCAAGACCAUGAAGAUCAUCAAGCUCCAGCAACCCAUUCCAUGGCAAUGGAAUACAAGACCGUCUCUGGGCACGUGAACGACAACGUCGGCAAGAUAGUGAUCCUAUGGUCCAAGCGCAAGCUCCAAUACGCCAAGAUCGACAAGAACAACAAGAUGGUGAUGAAAUUCGACAACAACACCAAGAUGGCGAUGCACCUCGACAAGAGCAAUAACAUCGUGAGGAACAAAACCUUGAAGCACAACAUGCUCUUCACGAAGCUACACUUGCCAUCGACAAGCGCAACCGCCAAGCACGACUUCAAGAAGAGGCCCUCCGCCGAGAGCGCCAAGAAGAAGCCGCAUGUCUUGAGGAGCUUAAAGAGAUGAGGAAUCGUGCUAACCUUCCAUGACCUCAACGCCAAGCCAAUAGUGAGGCGCAAGAGAAUCAAGCGGUUCAAGAUCCUCCCCCACGACAAGACCGUCAUCAUCAUCACCAUCGACCCCAACAAAAUGACAAGCAAAGCUACGUAAACUCAAGUUCACCAUGCCUAAGUUCUCCGGAAGCAAUGAUCACGAGGAGUACCUUUCAUGGGUAUUGAAGGUUGACAAGAUCUUUCGUUUGCACAACUAUGAAGAAGAGAAGAAGAUCGCCAUGGCAACCCUUGAGUUCCAAGACUACAUCCUCAUUUGGUGGGAGCAUGUCAUUGAGCGCCGUGAGGCAAGAGGUGAACCACCCAUCACAACAUGGAAUCAAAUGAAGGAUGUCAUGAGAGCGUGCUUUGUGCCAACCUACUACAACCACGACCUCUUCAAGAAAUUACAACUCCUCAAGCAAGGAACAAAGAGCAUUGAAGAGUACUACAAGGAAAUGGAGAUUGCCAUGAUAUGAGCCAAUGUCACGGAAGAUGAUGAGCAAACUAUGGCAUGUUUCUUGAAUUUAUUUGAUAAACGGGAUCACAUCAUUAGUGGAAUGAUGUGAUGGACAAGACCCAUCCGUUAGCUUAGCAUAAUGAUCGUUCAGUUUUAUUGCAACUACUUUCUUCGUGUCAAAUAUAUAUUCCUCCGACUAUGAGAUUAUGCAACUCCCGGACACCGGAGGAAUGCCUUGUGUGCUAUCAAAUGUCACAACAUAAAUGAGUGAUUAUAAAGACGCUCUACAGGUAUCUUCAAAGGUGUUUGUUGGGUUGGCACAGAUCGAGAUUAGGAUUUGUCACUUCGAGUAUCAGAGAGGUAUCUCUGGGCCCUCUCGGUAAUGCACAUCAUAUGAAGCCUUGCAAGCAAUGUCAUUAAUGAGUUAGUUAUGGGAUGAUGCACUACGGAACGAGUAAAGAGACUUGUCGGUAAUGAGAUUGAACUAGGUAUGAAGAUACCGACGGUCAAAUAUUGGGCAAGUAACAUACCGAUGACAAAGGGAACACCAUUUGUUGACAUUGUCGUUCGACCAAUAAAGGUCUUCGUAGAAUAUGUGGGAACCAAUAUGAGCAUCCAGGUUCCACUAUUGGUUAUUGACCAGAGAUGUGUCUCGGUCAUGUCUACAUAGUUCUCGAACCCAUAGGGUCCGCACGCUUAAAGUUUGAUGACGAUAUGUAUUAUAUGAGUUAUGUGUUUUGGUGACCGAAGGUUGUUCUGAGUCCCGGAUGGGAUCACAGACAUGACGAGGAGUCGCUAAAUGGUCUAGAGGUAAAGACUCAUAUAUUGGAAGGUUAUAUUUGGACAUCGGAAUGGUUCUGGAGUGUUUCAGGGAUUUUUCAGAGUACCGAGGGGUUACCGGAACCCCCCGGGAAAGUUAAUGGGCCUCAUGGGCCAUAGGGGAGAAGAGGAGGUAGGCCACAUGAGGUGGCGCCCCCCCAUUAGUGUCCGAAUUGGACUAGCGGAGGGGGCACGACUCCCUCUUUCCUUCUCCUUCUCUCCCUUCCCCCUUUUCCCCCUUCGGAAAGGAAGGGGGGUCCAAAUUGGACUGGGAGUCCUAGUAGGACUCCCCCCUUGGGGGCGAGCCUUGGUCGGCCAUCUCCCCUCCCCUCCUUUAUAUUCGGGGGCAGGGGGCACCCCAAAGCACAUCAAUUGUCUUAGCCGUGUGCGGUGCCCCCCUCCACCGUAUACUCCUCCAGUCAUAUUGUCGUAGUGCUUAGGCGAAGCCCUGUGCGUAUCACAUCACCAUUACCGUCACCACACUGUCGUGCUGAUGGAACUCAUCUCCUUUGUACCACUACUAGAUCAAGAGUUCGAGGGAGUCAUCAAGCUGAACGUGUGCAGAACUCGGAGGGGUCGUACGUUCGGUACUUGAUCGGUAGAUUUGAGAAGACGUUCAACUACAUCAAUUGCGUUAAGUUAACGCUUCCGCUUUCGGUCUACGAGGGUACGUGGAUACACUCUCCCCCCCUCGUUUCUAUCUCCUAGAUAGAUCUUGCGUGAGCAUAGGAAUUUUUUUGAAAUUGCAUGCUACAUUUCCCAACAGUGGUCUCCGAGCCAGGUCUAUGCAUAGAUGAUAUGCACGAGUAGAACACAAAGAGUUUUGGGCGGUGAUUGUCAUACUGCUUACCACCAAUGUCUUAUUUUGAUUCGGCGGUAUUGUUGGAUGAAGCGGCCCGGACCAACCUUACAUGACCACAUUCAUGACAUCAGUUCCACUGACAGACAUGCAGCUAGUUUUAGAUAAAAGUGGCUAGCGGGUGUCUGUUUGUAACAUCCCAAAAUUCUAAAUUUUGGAAUGUUAUAAACAGAUAGAUAGUUUUGAUUGAUUGUUUGAUUGCUUGUGUGAAAUUGAGUGAUUCGAAACUUUUGAAAGUUAAAUGAGAGGGAAUAAAAGGACUUUCCCAAACUUUCAUCUUGCUUUUAUGAUCUCCGUGAAUUCAAAUUCUUUUCAUCACAAAACCCUGGAGAGAAGAUGACAUGACUUCUUCCAUUUAUUUAAAUGACAAGGGGUGUUGAAAAUACUUGAAUUUCAUUUGGAAAAUAUUUCCAACCCAGGAACUUUAUGCAACUCAAUGAUUUUCACGAGCGAAGAUAAAAUGACUUCUUCAAAACAUAUGAAAUAUGAGUUGGGAGUUUCAAAGAAUUAAAUUCAAAGCUCUUUUGAAUUUAUUUUCAAUUUGGAGUUUUAUUCAAAUUAUUUUUCUCCAAAAAUAAAAUAUAUGGAAAAUAGGGUAACAUGAUUCCCUACAAUAGAAAAUUGGAGAGAAAUAAAUUUGAAUUCAUUUUGGUAUUUUUAAAAUGAUUUUUAUUGGAUUUUAGUAGAGCAGGAGCACUCAUUGCUUUAUUUAAAUUUGUGUGUAUUUUAUUUGAUCUUACAAAAAUGUUCAACUUGUAGGAAAUCUUUUUCUGAAAAUUUUGAUAUAUUAUAUGCCUAUAUAAUAUUAUUAUUAGUUAUUUUGUUUAUUCUUUUAGUUCUCUGAAAAAAAUUGUUUUUAUUAAAAAAAAUGUUUCCCUCCCCGACUGGGCCGGCCCAACUAGCCAGCCGGUCGCGACCCAGCCCGCGUCGCGCCGCCACCGACCUCCGGCAGGAGACCGGCUCCUGUACGUCGCCUCCGCCGUCGGACUCCGAUCCGGGCACGCCUCCCGAAGUCCAUCGCCCCCCUCUAUUUAAGCCGCACCGGGGCCCCCUGGAUCCCGAUCCGCCGCCGCCCUCCCUCUCCCGCAGCCGCCGCCUGCCCGUCGCUGCAUCUCGCCGCCACCGCCGCGCGCAUCUUGCCGCCGCAGCCGCUCGCCCACGCCACCGUGCCGGUCCCCGCGCUGCCCUCGCCCCUCACCGACGUUCCGCGUCGGAGCCGCCAUCUCGCCUCGCCCCGCUCGCCGGAAUCCGCAGCCUCGCCGGAGCCGAUCCAAACCGCCACCGCCGCCCGGACUCGCCGACUCGCCGGCGUCCGAUCCUGAUCCAACCGCCGGUUUUCUUUCGGUCCGGUCCGGUUUUAUUUUUAAGGUUCGGUUUUGGUUAAAAAAACCCGUUUUAUUAUUUAUUUAUUUAGUUUAGUUAUGUAAUGAACGUUUUCUGUUUAGGUAGUUUCAGCGAACGUUUUUGUUCGUUAGGUUUUCGUAGCGAACGUUCACUAUUUAUUCUUUUUCUUUUUCUGUUUAAAUUACGCCAGGGACCUAUCUGUGAAUAUAUUUAUUUACAGAUUAGCCCCUAGUUUUCAAACGUUCACCACUUUUUACUCGCUUGUCCAAAUUCAAUGAAACCAACGCCCACUUCUUCGUUAUGAUCCCCUCUAUCCAGUAAUCCAACUCAAACAUGUUUUUGAAAGUUUAAAAUUUGAAUUAGAUCAGAUUUGAAUUUGAACUUCGUUUGAUCAUAACUUAAGUUUUAUAACUCCGUUUGAGUUGAUUCUUUUUGCAUUUCGAAGCUCUUGACCUAAACUUUCUGAUAAGGCCAAAUUCACAUAAUUUUUGUACUGUUAGGAAUUGUUUUAUGAUGCAAGAGUUAUUUGCUUGGUUUUGAUGUUUUCCGAAUCGUACUCUUCGUUCUUUCCGAUCUUUUGAGUGAUUGCUUAUGUGUGGUUACUAUUGCUUGCUCACGAUAGAUUGACCGGAGUGUGACGAAUAGAACUAUCAGGAGCUGAGUGCGAAUCAUCUUCAUCAACAUUGCAGGCAAGUUCACACUUUGAUCAUAUCCCUUUUCAUACUCAGUUUUUAUGCAUUAGUUUCAACCCUUAAACAUUGCAUGGUUAGGAGUUGACAAUACGUGGGUAUUGGGAAGUAGUUGCUGAGGUAGAACCUAUUGCCCUGUUUAUUUUCAAACCCUUGGGAGUUACUUCUAUGUUAUGCUUAUAUUGCCAUGCUAUGCUCGUAGACGUGGAUUGGGUUUGAGUGAUAUCCAUGACAGAUGUGAGAUUGUUAAUUAAUGGUUUACUUAAGGUGGUAACUUUAAUACACAUCUGGGUGGACUGAGGCACAUGGGGUUACCAGUGAUUGCCUGUUUUAUUUUUGGAAAUCCCGGGGUUACCGUGUGAUUCUCCUAUGGACCGCCACCCAGGCUCAAAGGAAACUGAGUCUAUUCAUGCUAGAAACUUCCGUGUGCAGCCGCAAGCUAUUAUGGGCUCUAGCAUAGUUGAGUAAGUUACAUGAAGCUCUUGAAGAGGUGGAUCAGCAGGUAGUUGGUUUGUAGGUUUGGUAUGGUCUGCCCGGAGUAGAGAGUUAAUGUUUCUGAAAGACUGUGUCUCGGUCAUCCGUUUCUCAAACACCAUGUAGUGCAAGAAAUCCAACGGAGGCGAUCUAGUCUUGCGGGGAAAAGUGCGCAAACCUCUGCAGAGUGUACAAACUAAUCAUGGUUAGCCGUGUCCUCGGUUAUGGACAAUUCUGAGUAUCUAGUACUUGAGUAUUCACAUGUAUCUCAACACUCUUAAUUAAUAUUGUUGGGUUGUUAAUGACUUUAAUUUGGGAUUGAGAGGGGGUUUACCUUCUCAAUAUUUUUUAAUUGGGAUCAUUGAGUUGGGGUUACCUUCUCAAAUGAUGUUUCAACCAACAUGAUAGUUAAAUUAAAACUGAUUCCUUUGCAGUAGGGAAAAAUUGGCUUUUCGCAAAAACAUUAUAACCUUAGAGCUUUUCCACCAGCCAUAUAUGCAUGUAGUGAUAGCCUUUAUUCAUCAUUGCUCUAUGGCGUGAAUUUGCCAGUACAUUCAAUGUACUGACCCUCUGUGGCUGCAACGUCUCAUGUUGCAGGAUCUUACGACGAGUAAGUGAUACGUUAGGGUUACGAUUUCCUAUACUCAACUUUGCCGUUGGUGUUGAUGGUAAUCCACAACCUUGUUACUUCCGCUAUUUGGAUUUAGGUAAUGAUAUUUACGUUAUUUUAUACAUGUGAUUUACCUCUGUUAUAAAUCCUCGGGUACUGUGUGUGUCAGCAUACCGAUCCAGGGAUGACACCUAAGCAUAGAGACUUGACCGUCUGAGGUCGGGUCGCUUCAAGAUGGUAUCAAAGCACAUGUUGAGUGUAGGACGUGACCCUAGAAACUGGCAAGCCCAUAGGAAAGAUUUUUUCUCUACAACUUUCUUUUCAAAAGAUCUUUUACCUCUCUUCUCUUCUGAGCUUAUUCAAAUAUUCCCUUUAGUGAGACUAUACCCCUUUUCCCCUUUUGACCCCUCGAAGAUUCGACUGAUGAGACCACUACAAGAAGUACAAGAUAUCGGACAACCAAGACCAUUCGGAAUGAAGAGGAUAUUUACCGUGCAUUACACUGAUGGAAACUACAACGGUUGAAGACUGAGAAUUCGAAGGCUCUGUAGAAUUUGCAGAUUAGUAUGACCAAGGAAGGCUACAAUUAUGGAACUUGACAGACUAUGGAAGCUGUCAAUACCCGAGAUAAAGGUGUAUCGGAGAAAGACCUAAACAUGGGGCAUUAGAACUCGAAGUUUUCGUCAAGGAAAACCCUAAGACAGGAGAUAUCAAUUAUGAAUGAUAGCUCAUGGCAAUGACAAGGGAAGAAACAUGGCUAUCCAUGAUGUUAUCGCCCGCUUAUGCUAUUGUCACCGAGCUGAGUUAAGCAUGCAUUCUUCGAAAGAAUUGGAUGGUAGAAAGCUGAAGGAGCACCCAUCAACAAAGGAUGUAGCUUUAACCUUAGCUGGUGUAUCACCAGGAUCUGGAGUGUUACAUCAAGAAGUUCAGAUGGACCUACAAAAACAAUAUUUUGACAAGGAAGUAUUUCAUGAAGAACUCAGGACCCUGAAGAUGAGAGUAGCCAAGAUGGAGGAGCAAAACCUCGAGAUACCGGAGAUUCGUCAGGAACUGAAGAAACAGUAGUACCAUGGUUCAUGCCAAGGAUGUUAAAACCCAGAAGUUUGGAAAGCAGCUCCAGAAUAUUAAAGGACGUAGGAGAAACUUCGCGUCAACAGAGAUGAUUUGGCAAAAGAAUUUGAGAAAGGACAAGCAUGAUCAGAAGGAGCCAUCGGAGACAUGACCAAGACUUGAAGAGCUUGAUGACAUUGAGAUCUAUAGACCAUUAGAAGACCCAACCCCUGUUAGAUAUUUACGUUAGAUGCGACGAUUGUGAGCUGUCAUUUGUUUGUUGUUUUUCCGACAGCCACAAUAAAACCUGUCUUUUCAAAACUUUUGUUUGUGUUGUGUGUAUCCCUCUCUAUCUCUCUUAUCCCACCCCAAAACACAUGGACCCAAUAGAGGAUGAAUGAAGAUGAGCUCAUAUUAUCUGGACUAAUGAGUCAAUUGGAAACGGACCGAUGGAUUCAGAACAUGGAGGAACAUAUGGAGAAUGACACUAUAGCCAUAAAGGAUAUAACCCAGCAUGCUCUUCAGUGCUUUGUAAGAGUUGCUGCUACUUGGUGGAGGAUGUACCAAACCAUCAAUGGAUGGCAAGGAGUAACAACUUGGGGAGAAUUUAAGUUGACCUUGCUACAGUCUCGGCUUGUGUCCCAGAAGAUGAAGCCUCAUGGAAAUGAUAUGAAGAAACUCUGUGCAUGCAAGCUUUGUGGAGAAAUAGGACACAACCAUAAGGAGCACAAGGAUGAAUGACCUAAUUGUGAAGGAAGUCACCCAGCAAAAGAAUGCCCAAAUAGGCAGAUUACUUGUUUCUUGUGUGAAGGAACUACCCACUACCCUUCUCAGUGUCACAUUUACCCUAUGGUACAGAGAACCAUCCAACAGAAGAAAGAAGCAAUGAAAGGAGCCCUCAUGGAAAUUUUAGAAGAACCGGUGAUCAAGGAAGAUGCCAAGGGCACACACAAAGGAAACAAAAUUAAAGCCUGCACCAAGUCAUGCUAUUCAUGUGGAGAAGAAGGACACAUCUCCCAAGAUUGUUUGAAUGGAGAUCUAGUAGAAUUCCCGACAGAGGAAGUAGAGUACGAACCACAGGAAAUAGAAGCCCUGAUUGGAACGGAAAAAUCCAGAAAGAGAAGUAGAUUGGAUUCCAGGAAGGACCGGAGUCAUAUCACCUGCUACAGGUGCAAGGAGUCAGGGCACUACCUCAACUAUUGCCCAAAAAGGAAGCCGAGGACCCAAGGAGGCUAUAUGAUCACAAGGAAACCACGAGAAUUGUCAGAAGUGAUAUGUUUUCAUUAUAAUGAAGCAGGGCACCUUGCCAUGGAUUGUUCCAAGAAGAAGGAGACUUGUGCUAAAUAGUUGAGUUAGCAACAAAAGAAAUGUAGUAGUAGUAGUGGGAACAAUUCUUCUAUAUUGAGGUGUUGAGUUGAGGCAUGUAAUGGAAAAGCAAGAGAUUGUAAUCGUUGGAGAAUCAAUAAAGUUUGCAUCGUUGGUAUUGAUUUGGAUUUUAUGAGUUGUUACCCUAUGAAGAAAGAUUGUGACCAUUUUCGAGGAUAUGAGAAAUAUGGUCUAUGGAAGAUUGGAGCAUUUUAAGGGUGGUAGUACCUUCUGAGGAGAUAUGACCCCUGGAUAGGAUAAUGAUAUUCCACGGAGUGGAUUUCGGACAAAAUAAGUAUGAGUUUUGUCUCGAUAUGUUGGAUACCCCCAAGAGCAUGAAGGAAAGAAGUAUUAUUGGAUAUAAAGGAGGUAUGAUGUUGGAAAUAUGGAUCAAUGGAAAUUCCAUGAUGAGUCUGAGUAAUCAUGUCCUAGUUUGGUGCCAAUAGAAGGAAGGAAGACAGUACAAUUGGAUGGAUUUAAGGAAGCUGGAAGUUGAAUGUUGGAAUAACGAUAAGUUGCCCGCGAUGAUGAGUUCAAGGUUUAUAAAGUGAUGAGAUGGGCCAUAACCCACAGGCCCCAGGACCUGCCAAGAAGCAAGCACAUUCUUGCUGAAGGAAAAACCCUGGAAGGAGUUACCAUUUUAUCGACAGACGAACUUAUAGGAGUUUACGCAAAACCUGAGAGUGGUGAAGGACCGAUAGUUGUUUGUUUAACUUGCAGAAUCUAUGGAUUUAUCCGAACCUAGUUCGUUGACAAGAGAAAUUCUGCAAUGCUUGUGAGGAUGACCGAGUGUUAGAAUGCGAGAUUCGCUAAACCAUAUACCAGAUAAUGAUUUGGGUGCGGGAUGGAUUGAUCACCAUACCGACUUUUUCUUAUUAUUCGCCUUGCUAUAUGGGAUGGUAAAUCUGAGUGACUUACCUAUAUUAGAGAGACGACGAUCAAAACCUUGUUUGAACCUUAGAAUGGUAUAAGCAUUCUUCCCUUGUACAAGGCAGUUGUUGCCAAUCGUAGGUCAUACGGUGAGGUUCAACCCUGACCGAUUUUCUGCAGGAGAAACCAUAAAUUGUUGACCAUCAGGAGAUAUCGAUAGUUGUUGAGUAUUGGUGCCAGACCCGUCAGCUAAGAAGACCCAGUCUCGGAAUAACCUUACCAAGGUGAAAGGACCGAAGAAUUGAAGAAAAAGGUUAUGCCACUACCAGAAGAGCGCAGAGAAGGAAUUUUCCCGAGAUCUAAGAAGACCGACACUAUCAGCAAUAAAGAUGGAGUAUAUGAGUAUUGAUGAGACCGUAACCAUGCUUCUAAGGGUGGUAGCACCCGAGACCCCGAAGACGAACGCUGGAUUGUGAAGACCCCUACCCUAACCUAUUUCUUGCUAGCCUCUCCGAAUCUCGAGGACGAGAUUCAUUUUAAGGGUGGUAGGUUUGUAACAUCCCAAAAUUCUAAAUUUUGGAAUGUUAUAAGUAGAUAGAUAGUUUUGAUUGAUUGUUUGAUUGCUUGUGUGAAAUUGAGUGAUUCGAAACUUUUGAAAGUUAAAUGAGAGGGAAUAAAAGGACUUUCCCAAACUUUCAUCUUGCUUUUAUGAUCUCCGUGAAUUCAAAUUCUUUUCAUCACAAAACCCUGGAGAGAAGAUGACAUGACUUCUUCCAUUUAUUUAAAUGACAAGGGGUGUUGAAAAUACUUGAAUUUCAUUUGGAAAAUAUUUCCAACCCAGGAACUUUAUGCAACUCAAUGAUUUUCACGAGCGAAGAUAAAAUGACUUCUUCAAAACAUAUGAAAUAUGAGUUGGGAGUUUCAAAGAAUUAAAUUCAAAGCUCUUUUGAAUUUAUUUUCAAUUUGGAGUUUUAUUCAAAUUAUUUUUCUCCAAAAAUAAAAUAUAUGGAAAAUAGGGUAACAUAAUUCCCUACAAUAGAAAAUUGGAGAGAAAUAAAUUUGAAUUCAUUUUGGUAUUUUUAAAAUGAUUUUUAUUGGAUUUUAGUAGAGCAGGAGCACUCAUUGCUUUAUUUAAAUUUGUGUGUAUUUUAUUUGAUCUUACAAAAAUGUUCAACUUGUAGGAAAUCUUUUUCUGAAAAUUUUGAUAUAUUAUAUGCCUAUAUAAUAUUAUUAUUAGUUAUUUUGUUUUAUUAUUUUAGUUCUCUGAAAAAAAAUGUUUUUAUUAAAAAAAAAUGUUUCCCUCCCCGACUGGGCCGGCCCAGCUAGCCAGCCAGGUCGCGGCCCAGCCCGCGUCGCGUCGCCACCAACCUCCGGCAGGAGACCGGCUCCUGUACGUCGCCGCCGCCGCCGGACUCCGAUCCGGGCACGCCUCCCGAAGUCCAUCGCCCCCCUCUAUUUAAGCCGCACCGGGGCCCCCUGGAUCCCGAUCCGCCGCCGCCCUCCCUCUCCCGCAGCCGCCGCCUGCCCGUCGCUGCAUCUCNNNNNNNNNNNNNNNNNNNNNNNNNNNNNNNNNNNNNNNNNNNNNNNNNNNNNNNNNNNNNNNNNNNNNNNNNNNNNNNNNNNNNNNNNNNNNNNNNNNNNNNNNNNNNNNNNNNNNNNNNNNNNNNNNNNNNNNNNNNNNNNNNNNNNNNNNNNNNNNNNNNNNNNNNNNNNNNNNNNNNNNNNNNNNNNNNNNNNNNNNNNNNNNNNNNNNNNNNNNNNNNNNNNNNNNNNNNNNNNNNNNNNNNNNNNNNNNNNNNNNNNNNNNNNNNNNNNNNNNNNNNNNNNNNNNNNNNNNNNNNNNNNNNNNNNNNNNNNNNNNNNNNNNNNNNNNNNNNNNNNNNNNNNNNNNNNNNNNNNNNNNNNNNNNNNNNNNNNNNNNNNNNNNNNNNNNNNNNNNNNNNNNNNNNNNNNNNNNNNNNNNNNNNNNNNNNNNNNNNNNNNNNNNNNNNNNNNNNNNNNNNNNNNNNNNNNNNNNNNNNNNGCUGCCCUCGCCCCUCACCGACGUUCCGUGCCGGAGCCGCCAUCUCGCCUCGCCCCGCUCGCCGGAAUCGGCAGCCUCGCCGGAGCCGAUCCAAACCGCCACCGCCGCCCGGACUUGCCGACUCGCCGGCGUCCGAUCCUGAUCCAACCGCCGGUUUUCUUCCGGUCUGGUCCGGUUUUAUUUUUAAGGUUCGGUUUUGUUUAAAAAAACCCAUUUUAUUAUUUAUUUAUUUAGUUUAGUUAUGUAAUGAAUGUUUUCUGUUUAGGUAGUUUCAGCGAACGUUUUCGUUCGUUAGGUUUUCGUAGCGAACGUUCACUAUUUAUUCUUUUUCUUUUUCUGUUUAAAUUACGUCAGGGACCUAUCUGUGAAUAUAUUUAUUUACAGAUUAGCCCCUAGUUUUCAAACAUUCACCACUUUUUACUCGCUUGUCCAAAUUCAAUGAAACCAACGCCCACUUCUUCGUUAUGAUCCCAUCUAUCCAGUAAUCCAACUCAAACAUGUUUUUGAAAGUUUAAAAUUUGAAUUAGAUCAGAUUUGAAUUUGAACUUCGUUUGAUCAUAACUUAAGUUUUAUAACUCCGUUUGAGUUGAUUCUUUUUGCAUUUCGAAGCUCUUGACCUAAACUUUCUGAUAAGGCCAAAUUCACAUAAUUUUGGUACUGUUAGGAAUUGUUUUAUGUUGCAAGAGUUAUUUGCUUGGUUUUGAUGUUUUCCGAAUCAUACUCUUCGUUCUUUCCGAUCUUUUGAGUGAUUGCUUAUGUGUGGUUACUAUUGCUUGCUCUCGAUAGAUUGACCGGAGUGUGACGAAUAGAACUAUCUGGAGUUGAGUGCAAAUCAUCUUCAUCAACAUUGCAGGCAAGUUCACACUUUGGUCAUAUCCCUUUUCAUACCCAGUUUUUAUGCAUUAGUUUCAACCCUUAAACAUUGCAUGGUUAGGAGUUGACAAUAUGUGGGUAUUGGGAAGUAGUUGCUGAGGUAGAACCUAUUGCCCUGUUUAUUUUCAAACCCUUGGGAGUUACUUCUACGUUAUGCUUAUAUUGCCAUGCUAUGCUCGUAGACGUGGAUUGGGUUUGAGUGAUAUCCAUGACAUAUGUGAGAUUGUUAAUUAAUGGUUUACUUAAGGUGGCAACUUUAAUACACAUCUGGGUGGAUUGAGGCACCUGGGGUUACCAGUGAUUGCCUGUUUUAUUUUUGGAAAUCCCGAGGUUACUGUGUGAUUCUCCUAUGGAUCGCCACCCAGGCUCAAAGGGAACUGAGUCUAUUCAUGCUAGAAACUUCCAUGUGCAGCCGCAAGCUAUUAUGGGCUCUAGCAUAGUUGAGUAAGUUACGUGAAGCUCUUGAAGAGGUGGAUCAGCAGGUAGUUGGUUUGUAGGUUUGGUAUGGUCUGCCCGGAGUAGAGAGUUAAUGUUUCUGAAAGACUGUGUCUCGGUCAUCCGUUUCUCAAACACCAUGUAGUGUGAGAAAUCCAACGGAGGCGAUCUAGUCUUGCGGGGAAAAGUGCGCAAACCUCUGCAGAGUGUACAAACUAAUCAUGGUUAGCCGUGUCCUCGGUUAUGGACAAUUCUGAGUAUCUAGUACUUGAGUAUUCACAUGUAUCUCAACACUCUUAAUUAAUAUUGUUGGGUUGUUAAUGACUUUAAUUUGGGAUUGAGAGGGGGUUUACCUUCUCAAUAUUUUUUAAUUGGGAUCAUUGAGUUGGGGUUACCUUCUCAAAUGAUGUUUCAACCAACAUGAUAGUUAAAUUAAAACUGAUUCCUUUGCAGUAGGGAAAAAUUGGCUUUUUGCAAAAACAUUAUAACCUUAGAGCUUUUUCCACCAGCCAUAUAUGCAUGUAGUGAUAGCCUUUAUUCAUCAUUGCUCUAUGGUGUGAAUUUGCCAGUACAUUCAAUGUACUGACCCUCUGUGGCUGCAACGUCUCAUGUUGCAGGAUCUUACGACGAGUAAGUGAUACGUUAGGGUUACGAUUUCCUAUACUCAACUUUGCCGUUGGUGUUGAUGGGAAUCCACAACCUUGUUACUUCCGCUAUUUGGAUUGAGGUAAUGAUAUUUACGUUAUUUUAUACAUGUGAUUUACCUCUGUUAUAAAUCCUCGGGUACUGUGUGUGUCAGCAUACCGAUCCAGGGAUGACACCUAAGCACAGAGACUUGACCGUCUGAGGUCGGGUCGCUUCACUGUUUCUCCAACUUUAGUUGAAUCGAAUUUGACUGCGGUCGGUCCUUAUGAAGGUUAAAACAGCAAACUUGAUAAAUCACCGUUGUGGUUUUUGUGCCGUAGGUAUGUACGGUUCAUGCUAGAAGCCCGUAGCAGCCACAUAAAACUUGCAACAAACAAAGUAGAGGACGUCUAACUGUUUUUGCAGGGCAUGCUGUGAUGUGACAUGGUCAAGGCAUGAUGUGAUAUGGUCAAGGCAUGAUGUGAUAUGGUCAAGGCAUGAUGCUCCAUUGCGAAAGUUCUUCGUGUUGAGACACCAUGUGAUGAUCGGGUGUGAUAAGCUCUACAUUCAAAUACAACGAGUGCAAGCCAGUUUUGCACACGCGGAAUACUCGGGUUAGACUUGACGAGCCUAGCAUAUACAGAUAUGGCCUCGGAACACUGGAGAAUGAAAGGUCGAAUGUAAAUCAUAUAGUAGAUAUGAUCAACAUAGUGAUGUUCACCAUUGAAGACUACUCCAUCUCACGUGAUGAUCGGACAUGUUUAGUUGAUUUGGAUCACGUAUCAUUUAGAUGACUAGAGGGAUGUCUAUCUAAGUGGGAGUUCUUAAGUAAUAUGACUAAUUGAACUUAAUUUAUCAUGAACUUAGUCCUGAUAGUUUUUGCAUAUCUAUGUUGUAGAUCAAUGGCCCGUGCUACCGUUCCCUUGGAUUUUAAUGCGUUCCUAGAGAAAGCUAAGUUGAAAGAUGAUGGUAGCAACUACACGGACUGGGUCUGUAACUUGAGGAUUAUCCUCAUUGCUGCACCGAAGAAUUAUGUCCUUGAUGCACCACUGGGUGCAAGGCCUGCUAUAGGAGCAGAAGCUGACGUUGUGAACACCUGGCAAGCUCGAUCUGAUGACUACUCGUUAGUUCAGUGUGCCAUGCUUUACAACUUAGAAUCGGGACUUCAAAGAUGUUUUAACGUCAUGGACCAUAUGAGAUGUUCUAGGAGUUAAAGUUAAUAUUUCGAGCAAAUGCCCGAGUUGAGAGAUAUAAAGUCUCCAACAAGUUCUAUAGCUGCAAGAUGGAGGAGAACAGUUCUGUCAUUGAGCACAUACUCAGAAUGUUUGGGUACCAUAAUCUUGACUCAGCUGGGAGUUAAUCUUCCAGAUGAUUGUGUCAUCGACAUAGUUCUUCAAUCACUGCCAGCAAGCUACAAAGGCUUCAUGAUGAACUACAAUAUGCAAGGGAUGGAAAAGACUAUUCCCAAGCUCUUUGCAAUGCUAAAGGCUGCGGAGGUAGAAAUCAAGAAGGAGCAUCAAUUUUUGAUGGUUAACAAAACCACUACUUUCAAUAAGAAGGGCAAGGGUAAAAAGAAGGGGAACUUCAAGAAGAAUGACAAGCAAGUUGUCACUCCCAGGAAGAACCCAAAGCUGGACCCAAGCCUGAAACUGAGUGCUUCUACUGCAGAGGGAUUGGUCACUGGAAGCGGAACUGCCCCAAGUAUUUGGCAGAUAAGAAGGAUCGCAAAGUGAGGAAAUGUAUAUUUGAUAUACAUGUUAUUGAUGUGUACCUUACUAAUUGUCGUAGUAGUGCCUGGGUAUUUGAUACCGAUUCAGUUGCUCAUACUUGUAACUCAAAGCAGAGACUACGGAUUAAACAAAGAUUGGCUAAGGAAGAGGUGACGAUGCACGUCGAAAAUGGUUCCAAGGUUGAUGUGAUCACCCUUGGCACACUACCUCUACAUCUACCCUCAGGAUUAGUUUUAGACCUGAAUAAUUCUUAUUUGGUGCCAGUGUUGAGCAUGAAUAUUAUAUUUGGAUCUUGUUUAGUGUGAUAUGGUUAUUCAUUUAAAUCAGAGAAUAAUGGUUGUUCUAUUUAUAUGAGUAAUAUCUUUUAUGGUCAUGCACCCUUGAAGAGUGUUCUAUUUCUGUUGAAUCUUGAUCGUGAUGAUACACAUAUUCAUAGUAUUGAUGCCAAAAGAUGCAAAGUUGAUAAUGAUAGUGCCACUUAUUUGUGGCACUUCCAUUUGGGUCAUAUCAGUAUAAAGCACAUGAAGAAACUCCAUAAAGAUGGACUUUUGGAAUCACUUGAUUAUGAAUCAUUUGAUACUUCCGAACCGUGCCCUAUGGGCAAGAUGACUAAAACUCCAUUCUCCGGAACAAUGGAACGAGCUAGUGACUUAUUGGAAAUAAUACAUACCGAUGUAUGCGGUCCAGUGAGUGUUGAUGCUCGUGGCGGGUAUCGUUAUUUUCUAACCUUCAUAGAUGAUUUGAGCAGAUAUGGGUAUAUCUACUUAAUGAAACACAAGUCGAAAACAUUUGUAAAGUUCCAAGAAUUUCAGAGUGGAGCGGAGAAUCAUCUUAACAAGAAAAUAAACUUUCUAUGAUCUGAUCGUGGAGGAGAAUAUUUGAGUUACGAGUUUGGCCUUCAUUUAAAACAAUGUGGAAUAGUUUCACAGCUCACGCCACCUGGAACACCAUAGCGUAAUGGUGUGUUCGAACGUCAUAAUCGCACUUUAUUGGAUUUGGUGCGAUCUAUGAUGAAUCUUACUAAUUUACCACUAUCGUUCUGGGGUUAUGCAUUGGAGACAACUGCAUUCACUUUAAACAGGGCACCGUCAAAAUUCGUUGAGACAACACCUUAUGAACUGUGGUUUGGCAGCAAACCUAAGCUGUCGUUUCUUAAAGUUUGGGGAUGUGAUACCUAUGUCAAAAGGCUUCAGCCUGAUAAGCUCGAACCCAGAUCGGAGAAGUGCAUCUUCAUAGGAUACCCUAAGGAAACAAUUGGGUACACCUUCUACCACAAGUCCGAAGGCAAAAUCUUUGUUACUAAGAACGGAACCUUUCUAGAGAAGGAGUUUAUGUUGAAAGAAGUGAGUGGGAGGAAAGUAGAACUUGAUGAGGUAAUUGUACCUGUUCUCAAUUUGGAAAGUAGCUCAUCCAAGAAAUCUGUUCCCGUGAUGCCUACACCAACUGGAGAGGAAGCUAAUGAUAAAGAUCAUGAAACUAUAGAUCAAGUUGCUACAAAACCUCGUAGGUCAGGCAGAGCGCGAUACGCACCAGAGUGGUACAGAAAUCCUGUUCUGGAGGUCAUGUUACUUCACCAUGACGAACCUAAGAACUAUGAAGAAGCUAUGAUGAGCCCAGAUUCCGAUAAAUGGCUUGAGGCCAUGAAAUCUGAGAUAGGAUCCAUGUAUGAGAACAAAGUGUGGACUUUGGUGGAUUUGCCCGAUGAUCGGCGACCCAUAGAGAAUAGAUGAAUCUUCAAGAAGAAGUCUGACGCUGAUGGUAAUGUUGCUGUCUAUAAAGCUCGACUUGUUGCAAAAGGUUUUCGACAAGUUCAAGGAGUUGACUACGAUGAGACUUUCUCAUCCGUAGCGAUGCUUAAGUCUAUCCAAAUCAUGUUAGCAAUUGCCGCAUUUUAUGAUUGUGAAAUCUGGCAAAUGGAUGUCAAAACUGCAUUCCUUAAAGGAUUUCUUAAAGAAGAGUUCUAUACAAUGCAACCAAAAGGUUUUGUCGAUCCUAAAGGUGCUAACAAAGUGUGCAAGCUCCAGGGAUCCAUUUAUGGACUGGUACAAGCAUCUCGGAGUUGGAAUAUACACUUUGAUGAGGUGAUCAAAGCAUAUGGUUUUAUAAAGAAUUUUGGAGAGACCUGUAUUUACAAGAAAGUGAGUGGGAGCUCAUUUCUAAUAUUAUAUGUGGAUGACAUAUUCUUGAUUGGAAAUGAUGUAGAGUUUCUGAAUAGCAUAAAAGGAUACUUGAAUAAGAGUUUUUCAAUGAAAGACCUUGGUGAAGCUGCUUAUAUAUUGGGCAUCAAGAUCUAUAGAGAUAGAUCAAGACGUUUGAUAGGACUUCCACAAAGCACUUACCUUGAUAAAGUUUUGAAGAAGUUCAAAAUGGACCAAUCAAAGAAAGGGUUCUUGCCUGUGUUACAAGGUGUGAAAUUGAGUCAGACUCAAUGCCCGACCACUUUAGAAGAUAGAGAGAAAAUGAAAGUCAUUCCCUAUGCCUCAGCCAUAGGUUCUAUCAUCUAUGCUAUGCUGUGUACCAGACCUGAUGUGUGCCUUGCUAUUAGUUUAGUAGGGAGGUACCAAAGAAAUCCAGGAGUGGAUCACUGGACAACGGUCAAGAACAUCCUGAAGUACCUGAAAAGGACUAGGGACAUUUUUCUCGUUUAUGGAGGUGACAAAGAGCUUGUCGUAAGUGGUUACGUCAAUGCUAGCUUUGACACCGAUCUAGAUGACUCUAAGUCACAAUCGGGAUACAUAUUUAUAUUGAAUGGUGGAGCUAUCAGUUGGUGCAGUUCCAAUCAGAGUGUCAUGGAGGGAUCUAUGUGUGAAGCGGAGUACAUAGUUGCUUCAGAAGCAGCAAACGAAGGAGUCUGGAUGAAGGAGUUCAUAUCCGAUCUUGGUGUAAUACCUAGUGCAUCGGGUCCAACGAAAAUCUUUUAUGACAAUACUAGAGCAAUUGCCUUAGCGAAGGAAUCCAGAUUCCAUAAAAAGACCGAACACAUCAAGAGACGCUUCAACUCCAUUCGAGAUUUGGUCGAGGGAGACAUAGAGAUUUGCAAAAUACAUACGGAUCUAAAAGUGGCAGACCCGUUGACUAAGCCUCUUCCACGAGCAAAACUUGAUCAGCACCAAGACUCCAUGGAUGUUAGAUUCAUUACAUUGUAAUCUAGAUUAUUGACUCUAGUGCAAGUGGGAGACUGAAGGAAAUAUGCCCUGGAGGGAAUAAUAAAGUUGUUAUUUCAUAUUUUCUUAUUCAUGAUAAAUGUUUAUUAUUCAUGCUAGAAUUGUAUUAACCGGAAACUUGAUACAUGUGUGAAUACAUAGACAAAACACUGUGUCCCUAGUAUGCCUCUACUAGACUAGCUCGUUGAUCAAAGAUGGUCAAGUUUCCUAGCCAUGGACAUGAGUUGUCAUUUGAUAAAUGGUAUCACAUCAUUAGUGGAAUGAUGUGAUGGACAAGACCCAUCCGUUAUCUUAGCAUAAUAAUCACUCGGUUUUAUUGCUACUGCUUUCUUCGUGUCAAUUAUAUAUUCCUCCGACUAUGAGAUUAUGCUACUCCCGGACAUCGGAGGAACGCCUUGUGUUCUAUCAAACAUCACAAUGUAACUGGGUGUUAUAAAGAUGCUCUACAGGUAUCUCCAAAGGUGUUUGUUGGGUUGGCAUAGAUCAAGAUUAGGAUUUGUCACUCCAAGUAUCGGAGAGGUAUCUCUGGGCCCUCUCGGUAAUGCACAUCAUAUGAAGCCUUGCAAGCAAUGUGACUAAUUAGUUAGUUACAAGAUGAUGCACUAUGGAACAAUUAAAGGGACUUGCCGCUAACGAGAUUGAACUAGGUAUGAAGAUACCGACGAUCGAAACUCCGGCAAGUAACAUACCGAUGACAAAGGGAAUAACAUAUGUUGAGAUUGUGGUUCGACCGACAAAGAUCUUCAUAGAAUAUGUGGGAACCAAUAUGAGCAUCCAGGUUCUGCUAGUGGUUAUUGACCGGAGAUGUUUCUCGGUCAUGUCUACAUAGUUCUCGAACCCGUAGGGUCCGCGCGCUUAAAGUUCGAUGACGUUAAGUAUUAUAUGAGUUAUGUGUUUUGGUGACCGAAGGUUGUUCGGAGUCUCGGAUGUGAUCACAGACAUGACAAGGAGUCUCGAAAUGGUCGAGAGGUAAAGAUUGAUAUAUUGGAGGAUUGUAUUCGGACACCGGAAUGGUUCCAGAGUGUUUUGGGGAUUUUUCGGAGUACCGAGGGGUUACCGGACCCCCCCUCCCCCGAGGAAAGUUAAUGGGCCUCAUGGGCCAUAUGGGAGAGGAAGAGGCAGGCCACAGGAGGUGCCCCCUCCAUGGGAGUCCGAAUUGGACUAGGGGAGGGGGCGCGACUCCCUCUUUCCUUCUCCCUCUCUCUCUCUCUGCCCCUUCCCCCUUUCCCCCCUCCAAAAAGGAAGGGGGUCCGAGUUGGACUGAGAGUCCUAGUAGGACUCCCCCCUUGGGGGCGCGCCCUAGCCGGCCCUCUCCCCUCUCCUCCUUUAUAUACGGGGGCAGGGGGCACCCCAAAGCACACCAAUUGUCUUAGCCGUGUGCGGUGCCCCCCUCCACCAUUUACUCCUCAUGUCAUAUUGUCAUAGUGCUUAGGUGAAGCCCUGCAUGGAUCACAUCACCAUUACCGUCACCACGCCGUCGUGCUGACGGAACUCAUCUUCUUCAUACCUCUACUCGAUCAAGAGUUCGAGGGACGUCAUCGAGCUGAACAUGUGCAGAACUCGGAGGUGUCAUACGUUCGGUACUUGAUCGGUUGAUUCGAGAAGACGUUCGACUACAUCAAUCGUGUUAAGUUAACGCUUUCGCUUUCGGUCUACGAGGGUACGUGGACACACUCUCCCCUUCUUGUUGCUAUCUCCUAAAUAGAUCUUGCAUGAACAUAGGAUUUUUUUUGAAAUUGCAUGCUACAUUUCCCAACAGGCCGCCAACCUCCAGUCGCACGGACGGCUAUAAGACCCUGUCCCGGUGCCGACCCCCACACCCGACCUCACUCCCCUGCCGCCGACGAGAAAACAAGUGCAGCGCCGGCGAUGUCCUACCAACGCGGGAGCAGCAGCACCGACAGCGACGAUGACGCCCCGAGCGCUUGGCCAUCGAGCCUCGGCAAUCCGGAGAUGGCGAAGCUAUGCCGGUACGGCCUCCUCGUGCCACCGGGCUGCCAUCUUCCCCAGCAGUGGAAGAUCAGCAUUGACGGCUACGUGACACUAGGCCCCAACACGAUGACGGAAGAGCUCCGGACCCACAUCAACGGCUGCCACAACAGCAUUGGCUGUCAUGCCUUCUGGAAAGGCAAGGUCUACGACGAUGUUAUUGCCGCCUUUCGGCUGGCGGCGCCUAUCGUCACCGCCGACCUCACUGGCGCGAGCGGCCGCCUUCAUGCCACGUCACCGGCGCAUGACCUAGCCUCGCGGGGGCGCCAUCAUGGAGCUGCCCGCCAGCCAGCACCCCUGGUGGCUAUGCACGCACGCGCACCGGUUGUUCCCCCCAUCAUCGAGCUACCGCCGGAACAAGUGGUCCUCCGCGAGGACGGUGAUCCGGACGACACUCCGGGUUGGCAUGUCACCCUACGGGCAUCAGAAGCGACGGUAGUAGCAGCGAUGGAGGCUGCGAGGGAGAACGCCGAGAUAGCUCUAUAUAUGUAAAAUUAUGUUGGACUGUGUAAAAUUUCUCUAUAUAUGUAAAAUUAUGUUGGACUGUGUAAAAUAUGUUGGACUUUAUAUGUACCAGAGAGCUCGAGGAGCCGGCGGCNNNNNNNNNNNNNNNNNNNNNNNNNNNNNNNNNNNNNNNNNNNNNNNNNNNNNNNNNNNNNNNNNNNNNNNNNNNNNNNNNNNNNNNNNNNNNNNNNNNNNNNNNNNNNNNNNNNNNNNNNNNNNNNNNNNNNNNNNNNNNNNNNNNNNNNNNNNNNNNNNNNNNNNNNNNNNNNNNNNNNNNNNNNNNNNNNNNNNNNNNNNNNNNNNNNNNNNNNNNNNNNNNNNNNNNNNNNNNNNNNNNNNNNNNNNNNNNNNNNNNNNNNNNNNNNNNNNNNNNNNNNNNNNNNNNNNNNNNNNNNNNNNNNNNNNNNNNNNNNNNNNNNGGGUCAGGGGCGGCGGCAGGGUGCGGUCGGGAAGAGAGAGAAGGGGGUGGGAGACAGAGAGAGGAGGGGGUGGGAGACAUAAAGGUAAGAGAGAGAGAGAGAGGAGGGGGUGGGAGACAGAGAGAUAAGAGAGAGAGAGAGGAGGGGUAGGGCAAGGGCGUUAGCGCCGUUAGGUAGGUUUUUGUUUGCCAUCUGCUAGCUGACGAGAAAGAUACUUUACCGUCAGCUAGCGGAUGGCAAAGAGGUGGGUGGACGAGCUGUCAGGAUAGCCGCCCUCUGCUAGACCCACCAACUUCUUUGCCAUUGGCUAGCGAACGGCAAAGUAGCUUCUACCUUAACUAGCCGACGACAAAUAGCUGGCUGACGGCAAACUGCGUCUUUACUGUCAGCCAGUUCUUUGUCGUCCGUUUUUUGUGAGCUGUCGGCAGAGACCUUCUUUGCCAUCAGCAAGCUGACGACAAGGAAUAAGCUGACGGCAAAUUCUCUGAUUCCAGUAGUAUUUGAAACUAUGGACUCUUUGGAUCAUUUGGAUCUCAAUAUUCAUGCCACCAAAAAACGAUUACAUGAUGAAUAUGAUAGGUAGCAUUCCACAUCAAAAAAAAAA